GAGUUUUUUUUUUUUUUUUGUCAAAACAUUUGUGCCGCGUCACUGGACUUCGUCGGCCAAUUGCUUCAGGGAGCUCACGGAUUUGUUGCCCAUCGCCACUAACCUCCCGCCGGUAAGCCGGAGGAAUCACAUUGCGAUGGUCGGGUCGGUGUAGGAAAGAGCAGGCAAAAGAUGAGGCGCUGCAGGGGAGAAUGGCUCCUCGUGCCGUGCAUCAUCUCCGUGCUGCUCUUUGUACCAUUGGCCUGCGGACGAUUGCUCAUUGGCGCAAGCGAUAUGUCGCCGCCUGCACUGACACCAUCCUUCAUCAAGCAAGUAGACGAUUGGGUGAGUACAUUAUCCAUGUAUUUCAUCGCACUCGGUAGUAACAUCUGUAGUGAGAUGGUGCCAUUCCAUAGUUUGUGAUCAAGAGCAAAGUAGUUUAGUUUGGGUCAUCUUAAGAAGUGAGAAUUAACUUAUUAAGUAGUAUCAAUCCUUUUUGCAAGAGAAAAAACCGGUUCAGGAAGGCAGGAAUUGCCACCAUCGAGAUCAUAGAAUGAUAGAAUUGCAAGGAUUGUCCGGCUAUAUUUCUGGUAUGGUGUUUAGGUUGGUGCCUUCGCUCUAUUAGCUCAUGAUGCCGACAUUCAGAAUUGGCAUGUGGUGCUCUUCGAAUUACCUGUGACAGAAGAGAUAAGAUCACUGAAUUUCGAGGGGUUCCCAGAGGCCAAAGCUGUUUAUGAUUUUAUACUGCAAUUGAAAAUACUGACCAUCCAGAUUAAAACCCUGCAAGCAGAAGCAGAGAUUUUGAAACAAAAUAUUAACGUUCCCUCCUGUUAGGUACACAUCACUGCACUGGUCGAACAUCUUUAUGCGCUAAUGAUAUCUUUUUUUUUUUUAAUUAUUACUGCCUAUUUAAUGAGUAGCAUGUGUCGGAUUAAUUCUGUUAUUAUUGGUACUAUGAUGCAUGUAGAGUUAAGUAAGGAAUGUGAUGAUAAUAUGAUAUUUAGUCCAACAUACUAGUAACGUUUUACAGCAGGUAACCUUCAGCGUCGAAUUUGAUGGGAUAAAAAAUUGUACUCCCUUUGUUCACAAAUAUAAGAUGUUCUGACUUUUUUCUGAAUCAAAUGUAUAUAGACAUGUUUUAGUGUGUUUGUUCACUAAUUUCAGUUUGUAUGUAGUCCAUUUUGAAAUAUCCAAAAUAUCUUAUAUUUGUGAACAGAGGGAAUAGUUUCUAACUGCUGACUCUCACUGGUACUUCAUGGUAGUAGUUUAUAUUUUUAAUGGUCUGGUACUUCAUGGUAGUUUAUAUUAUUAUUCUGAAAAGGAUGCGCACCUACUUUAUCUCAUUAGCAUCUGUUUCUGAUUAAUUCUCAUGCACUGACAAGGGUGACUACUCGUUACGAUAUCUAUAGGUGGAACACGCGUGGCUCAAAUGUGGAUUGGACAAGAAAAGCCUUCAAGAUGUUAGAAACUACUACAACUACAACCAUGUACUUGAUAUCAUCCAUAGGAUAUCUGACAAUAAGGGAACUUCCCCUGUCAUUGAAAAAGGUGCCAGCUCAUUGACCCCAGAAAUCAAGCAAACUUUGCUGAUCUGCUUAAGCAAACAGAGUUCUGAGGUUGCAAAUAACCUACCCGAUGGUUAUAUCAAAACACUUACCGCCUCAAUAAGAGGAGAGCUGGCUCCGGGACCUGCUCCUGCAAAUGAAGCAGUAAAACCUUCGCCAGGGAAACCAGCUGAGGGUGCUUCAUCAGAAGCAACUACAAAAAAGGCAGUGCCUGCAACUAAAUCAGUAGGAAAAAAGGACAGCGAUGGCAUGCCAACUACCAAUGUCAUUGGUGUGUCCUUGGUUGUUAUAGCACUUUUAGCUCUUCUCUGCGUUGGCUGCUGCAUGUACCGUGAAAGCCAGAGUUCUGCGGCUUCUGCCUAUGAUAAUAAGCAACUCCUGAAUCUAUGUAAUGUCUUGUAUCAUCCAUUUUGCUCCAAGUCAAAGUUUUCCUCUCUUCUACCACUGACUUUUAUGCUUUCAUUUGCAGCGGAUUCUUGCAAGUCUUCCAGUGUAAAUCUAAUAGAUGUCACUAAGCUGGGAGCAUUGCCAUUGCAGUCAGAGGCUGGCCAAAAUGGCCAUGUGAAUCAAAGUUCACAGGAAGGCCCAAACACUGAUGAAAUUGGCUAUGUGAGACUAAGUUCACAGGAAGGCCCAAACACUGAUCAAAAUAACCAUGUGAAACUAAGCUCACAGGAAGACGCAAACACUGGUCAAAUUAGCUAUGUGAAACUAAGCUCACAGGAAGACCCAACCAGUGGCCGAAAUAGUGAUGUGAAGCUAACUUCGCAGGAAGACCCAAACACUGGCCAAAAUAACCAUGUGAAGCUCACAUCGCAGGGAAGUGCAAACACUGAUCCAGCAAGCUACAGCAGUUCCACCGAGUCAAUGGCUGCUUCUGUUGGUUCUGUGCAAGGAUCAACACCAAUGAUGCCACCUCCAGCACAUCCUCAAGUACUUGCGCCUCAACCAAAGGCUCCUCCUCCACCACCAGCUCCUCAAGCACUUGUGCCGCCUCCGAAUGCUUCUCCAGUUCUUUCCUCUGGACCUUCACCGCCACCAGCUCCAAAAGCCUCCCCGCCUCCUCCCUCAGGACCCUCACCACCUACUUCUCCAAAAGCUGCACCACCACCACCACCACCAUCAAAAUCUGGUGGACCUCUCCCGCCACCACCAGCGCUGCCUGAUUCUUCCAAAAUGCGUCCACCAUCACUUAUGAAGUCAGGCAAUAAAGCAGACACAGAUGCGGAUUCUAGUGAAGCUAAAACAAAGCUUAAGCCCUUCUUUUGGGAUAAAGUAGCAGCAAAUGCUAAUAAAUCAAUGGUGUGGGAUCACCUUAAAGCUGGAUCAUUCCAGUAAGUUGGUAGAGAUAGCUGAGCUAUAUACUCCCUCCGUUCCCAAAUAUUUGUCUUUCUAGGCAUUUCAAAUGGACACAACAUACGGAUGUAUGUAGACUUAUUUUAGAGUGUAGAUUCACUCAUUUUGCUCCGUAUGUAGUUACUUGUUGAAAUCUCUAGAAAGACAAAUAUUUGGGAACGAAGGGAGUAGUUAUCUAGACAAAUUCUUAGAUUUGUGUAGAUACGGAUGUAUCAAGUCACGUUUUAGUAUUAGAUACAUCCAUAUCUAGACAAAUCUAAGACAAGAAUUUUGGGACGGAGGGAGUACUAUUGUAAGAUCGCACCAUUUUAUAACUAAAUGGUACUUCUUCACAGGUUAAGCGAGGACGCUAUUGAAACACUUUUUGGUUGUAAUGCUGACAAGAAGAGUGGUGAUGCCAAAAAAGAUUUAACAUCAAAGGAAGCUGCCCAAGUUGUGAGGAUACUUGAUCCUAAAAAGGCACAGAACCUGGCCAUAUCAUUGAAGGCGUUGAGUGUUUCAGCAGAGGAAGUUUCUUGUGCAGUUAAGGAAGGUAAAGUGUACUGUCACUCGUUUAUACUGUGCAAGUGCACAGCUCUUCCUGGAUGAAAUGCGGCUUCUUCUGAUUCUUGCCAGUCUUGUAGAUACAGUUAUUUUAUUUUAUUUUGGGCAAAUCUCCAGUUUUUUUUUAAGUUGCAGUGAUACAUUGAAUACUUAUCCAGCUUCUGGUCUAUAACUCCAUGCAAUAAUAUAUCAGCUGCGUAUAUCAUUUGUGUCUUCACAAUCAGGAGUUGCGGCUAUUCUUCUGUGCUAAGGACAAUGAAUCACUUGAUUUCAUUUGCUUCUUCUAUUUUUCAAAGCAAAUAGUACACAUUUCUGCUAAACUGAUGUGAGUCUUGUCUUCUAGGUUAACUCUAAUUCUUGAACUAAUAACAAAGUCAGCAAGAUUAUGUAGCAUGCAAGUGAUGUCAAAUGCUCAAAUCGGCAUUUGGUUCUAGACUUAACCACAUUUGUGUACAUCUGGCCUCCAUAUUUUGGAAUGGACGCCUCAAGCAUGGGUUCAUGUGCUUCUGACUAUUCUAUUUGGACAUUUAGAACAAAGAACAUGUUGAUUAAAUCCUAUUUCCUGAUAACAUCUUUUGCCUUAUCAAUUUCCCUUGAUAAUUUGUAGGAAAUGAACUUCCAUCCGACUUGAUACAGACCUUAAUUAGAUGGGUCCCGAGUACUGAUGAGGAGCUCGGGCUUCGACUAUAUACUGGGGAACUCUCACAGCUUGGUCCUGCAGAGCAGUUCUUAAAAGCAAUCUUCGACAUUCCUUAUAUCUAUGAGCGCCUGGAUGCAUUACUUUUCAUGGCUGGUUUACCAGAGGAAGCUUCAAAUGUAAAGCAAUCUUUUGCCACCUUAGAGGUAAUAGCAUUACCAUUAUGACCUGUUUGGCUUCCACACUAUAUUCAGUUCUGUCGUAUGACUUGUAUCAGUCUUGUUUGAUGCUCUCUAGUCCUUUAACCGAUGAACAUUUUUAUCAAGUAAUAAUAGAGAUUAUCGUAGUGUAGAUGUUUCCACUCUUCCUGCACCUUGAUGUUUCUACCGAUCUUCUUAUCUCUGCUAUCUUGGCAUUUAAAUCCUGAUCAGAUGGCUUGUGAGGAGCUUAAAAACAGCCGUCUAUUCUUGAAGUUACUAGAAGCUGUUCUUAAAACAGGGAACCGGAUGAAUGUUGGCACGUUCCGAGGAGGAGCUCAAGCGUUCAAACUAGACACCCUGCUCAAGCUUUCCGACGUCAAAGGAACUGAUGGGAAGAUAACGCUGCUGCAUUUUGUUGUUCAAGAGAUGAUCCAUUCUGAAGGUGUCCGUUCUGCACGGGCUGCAAAGGAGCAGACGGGCAGCAUAUCCAGUGUGGACAAGAAUGAUCUUAUUGAAGACGAAUAUAAACAACUAGGUCUGCAGGUUGUGUCCAGUUUAGGAGAUGAACUUCAAAAUGUCAGGAAUGCAGCAAUCCUUGAUGCAGAUCAGUUGACUAUGUCGGUAACAAGUGUUGGCCACAGGCUUGGCAAAACCAAAGAAUUCUUGAACACAAGCAUGAAAAGUCUGGAUGAAGAUAGUGGGUUUCACCGCAAGCUUGUGCAUUUCGUGGAGCAGUCUCAAACUGAAGUUACUUUCUUGCAAGAGGAAGAGAAGAAAAUACGGUCCUUGGUAAAGAGCACUGUCAAUUAUUUCCAUGGGAGGACAGGGAAGGAUGAGGGCCUUCGUUUAUUUGUCGUAGUGCGGGAUUUUCUUGCAAUGCUUGACAAGGUGUGCAAUGAGGUGAAAGAAGCAUCAAAAGUAGCUCCAAAGAAAACGAAGACUGAAGUUACUCUGCCUUCCCGCACACCCAGAUCUUUCCAAGAUCCCCGGCGUAACCUUUUUCCGGCAAUUCAAGACCGGAGGGCACAUAGUUCAAGCUCUAGUUCUGACGAGGGAAGUUAACUCUAAACGAAGGUACUCUACCUACCUUUUCCUUGCAGCGCUUGGAGGUUUGCCCUUUGAAAACAUUAGUGAGAAGAGAUGGAAAAUCAGAGCUAAAGAAAAGGCAAGAGAUGGAAAAUUGACGAUAAAGCCAACUCUGGCUUUGGUCACUUGUUGCAGCAACAGAAUAAAAUUGCUGAAGGAAGGCAGUCAUCUUCCAUAACGUCCUUGACAGGCAAUUGUUGCACUUUGGCUCCUAUAUCAAACAAACAAAGGUGAUAUUCACGAUCAAGAUGGAGAAGUCGAAACGGAAGCCGUCGAAAGGGGUGGCGAAGAAAACUGACCCCUUAGUUAGGGCGUGCAUAACAGGGAGGGAGGAAGAAGCAGCAGGCUGGUUGACUGACUGUGUGACACUGCCUGCUGUUUUUUCGCUUAACAUUUGUACCAUCACAGAAAGGAGAGGAAUAAAUACAGCAUUAGAAAGAAAGAGAUGCACCACACGGGCUCAUAAACAUUGGAUUCUUUUGCUUGCGCUUGACAAAUACUUUUGCAAAGAGCAAUGCUGUAAAUUGUCAUACUUUCAACUGAAACAUCCUGUGUGUUCGCGACUUGGUGUGCCUUUUGCAAUGUACCAGAUUCGCACUGCUGUGCUGUCGUCUGGAUAGUCAGGGCACCCAAAACAAUGUGCAGCGCUGCUAUAUGUGGACUGAUAAUUGUUUCAUUUCCCUUGCCAUUUCUUUACGGAAUCCUUUUUUAUCCCGGGUGUUAGAUCGCAAGCAUUUCCUGCCAAAAUGUCUUGCUCGUGAAAAACUUCGCCAUCUACUCCCCGCCAAAAUUCCAUUAUCACUAUCUCGAGCCGUAGCACAACUACGGAUUGUAAAGAAGAGCACACAUCUCGUUGUCGAACAGCUUCGCAGAUUAAUAUUAGUAGGAUUUCGCAUCUAUAUCUCGUUUUCUAACCAUGAAACAAUAGGCAAGAAUUGACCAUGGAAAGAACAGAGCAACGAAUUGGCAAGUAAGUAAUCCAUAGGUGCAACGUUUUAUAGAACAUAGCAACGAAUUACAGAGGAUGUAACCAUUGUCCACACCUAGUUUAGCAUCGGUACAAGCACACAGAUUCAGAAACUAAUAGUAGUACUAACAUCCUAGUAGUAGUAAAACGCAACACCUAGGCAACACUUAACUGAACACGCUACUACACAGAACUGGAUACAGCCGAGCACCCACGACCUCAGAGGAGGAGUCGUCAUCUAGCUAUCGUCGUCGGCAGCCACGGCCUUGCUGCCUCCGGCCUUCUUGGGGAGCAGAAGGUUGUGGAUGUUGGGCAUGACACCGCCGCUGGCGAUUGUGACCAUGCCGAGCAGGCGGGAGAGCUCCUCGUCGUUGCGGACGGCGAGCUGGAUGUGGCGCGGCACGAUGCGGGUCUUCUUGUUGUCCCUCGCCGCGUUCCCGGCCAACUCCAGAACCUGCACAAACAAGGGAAUCGCAACGGUUACUUCCAAAAUUCCACAAAGCUUCGAGUGGAAUUAGCAAGCAGAACCACCUAUGCCCAAACAAAUCUGAGAGCCGGCAGACGCAAGUAUUAUCCUCAUCCGAACCCUAGAAAUAUUCCCCACUUUGCCGAACCAACCACUGAUCGACGGGUCACCAACCUCUCGAAUUCACCACAAAAAACAGCAAAAUCAGGCAGCGGAUAACAGAAUCCCACGAACCUCAGCGGCGAGAUACUCCAGCACGGCGGCGAGGUAGACGGGGGCGCCGGCGCCGACCCUCUCGGCGUACUUGCCGGCCUUGAGGAACCGCGCGAUCCUGCCGACGGGGAACUGGAGCCCGGCCUUGGAGCUCCUGGAGAUGGCCUUCUUGGCGGCGCCCGAACCAAUCGCCUUGCCCCUUCCGGCCAUGUCUACAGUACUCCGAGGGGAUCCGCGGUUGUGAAAUGGAAAGCGAGGCGCCGGGAGGAAGUGCGGAGGCGGUGUGGUGUGGGUAUUCGGCUGGUAGGCAGGAACGGUGGGUGGGGAUUGGGUUAUAUAGGCGAGGGGAUCCAAUGCGAGGGGAAUGCGCGGAUCGGUGACGUGGCGGAGAUUACGUGCGCCGAGCGGCGAGAUCCUGUCCGUCAGAUGGGAAGAGCCGUGGAGCGGUUGGUUUUUGGCUUGCCGCCUCGGAUUUUCACCGUUUCGGGGUCGGUCGUACGCCGCCAGCUGCUCUCCGCGGCUAUGGGCCGCCGGCUUUGGGGCUUCUGUUCGGUUAUUUCUCUUUUUCUUUUCCUUAUGUCAGAGAUACGUGUUUCUUUGAAAGGAGGCGCUUGCCCGGCCUUAAACUAAAGCACUUACAAAUCCAACAUGACCGUUAAAGUGACGCAAUAUUUAACGAGCAACAAAGCAAAGCAAAAGAGAUACAUGCCCGAAGGCGGAUACAUAGCGGCGCAACGCUAGCAUAGACGAUGAAAAAAGGGAACUGUUACAAAUCAGUCGGAUGAUUUUCUAAGAAAUCAUCCGGCUAGGCAGUUGUCUGCUCAGCGCCUGGUAACCGUUGGAUGGCAACAACGUCACGGGAGUAGUAAGCAUGUGAUUGCUUCAACGCAGCGCUGCUGCACCCUGACAAAAGCUCCACUGCAGCUUAGCGGCGUCCAACGAAGCUCCAACGCUGCGCCGACGGCCGGCGAAGCUUUAAUGCAACUCCGGUGGAGCUCCAAUGUAGCACCAACGGCGUCCGGCGAAGCUCCAAUGCAACUCCGACAGAGCUCCAACGUAGCAACGGCGGCUCGGGCAAAGCUCCAAUGCAACUCCGGCGGAGCUCAAACGCAGCACCGACGACGCCCGAUGGAGCUCCAACACAUCACCAAAGGCUCCGGUGAAGCUCCAAUGCAACGUGUGGCUGAUGCCUCAUGGCAGCGCCGGCGGCGUGGUGAACCUUCAUUGCAGGCGGUUGAGGAGAGAUGCCCCGUCGCAAUAGCAGCUCCGCCGCCCGUCGAGAUCUGCGAGGAUACAACACCACUCGUGCUUCCUGGAAGCAUCCCCGCAACCGACGAGAUACAGCAAUUGCAACACUCCUCCUCGACAGCACCGGCGGCGUGGCAUCCGACAUGCUCGACAACACCAGCCACAUGGAUAGUUGACGACGCUCGGCGAACACUAACUGCAGCAACGGUCGUUGCGGGUGCUGUGGGGUGCUAGGCACGCCGCCGCCUGGCAACAUCAGUUCACCACCGGCGAUGGUGGCAGUAGCUUGCAAUGCCGUUGGNNNNNNNNNNNNNNNNNNNNNNNNNNNNNNNNNNNNNNNNNNNNNNNNNNNNNNNNNNNNNNNNNNNNNNNNNNNNNNNNNNNNNNNNNNNNNNNNNNNNNNNNNNNNNNNNNNNNNNNNNNNNNNNNNNNNNNNNNNNNNNNNNNNNNNNNNNNNNNNNNNNNNNNNNNNNNNNNNNNNNNNNNNNNNNNNNNNNNNNNNNNNNNNNNNNNNNNNNNNNNNNNNNNNNNNNNNNNNNNNNNNNNNNNNNNNNNNNNNNNNNNNNNNNNNNNNNNNNNNNNNNNNNNNNNNNNNNNNNNNNNNNNNNNNNNNNNNNNNNNNNNNNNNNNNNNNNNNNNNNNNNNNNNNNNNNNNNNNNNNNNNNNNNNNNNNNNNNNNNNNNNNNNNNNUGAGCGGUGUGUGGCCCCACAGGACGCGUGUCGUGCGUCGGAUACGGUUUACGCCAGCGUGAAAUCAACCGACUGAUUGUAAACGUUUUCCAUGAAGAAAACGCUAAGGCCCUGUUUGCUUCAAAGGAGUUUCAUGGAAUCGUACAGGUAGCGGUUUCCCGUGGGAAAGUUUCCUUUCAGCCUGUUCGCUUCAUAGGAAUGACAUUCUCAGUUCCUCCAAAAAGGUGUCUUAUCCUUUGCUUUUCACGGGAAAAUAAACAUUCACCAAGAUUUCAUGCUUUCGCGAAUGGCCGAAGCGAAGCGCAGGUUUCAGACUAAACAAAUUAAUAUACAACCAAUAAACAACUCCAUGGUGGGUCAUAGGCUGGAGGUUCUUUGCAUGCAGAUGCAGCUGAAUAAAAAUUUAUGAACAGUACACUUCAAUCAAGUUUCCGUGGGCACUUGAUGUGCUCUCUCAGAACGCACGCCUUUUACCUUUUCCUCUGUUUUAUACCCUCCCAUGUUUUAGAAUUGCGUCUUUCUCCAAUCUUGCAACUUUUCCAAUCCUCUUGUUUAGGUUCCUAUGUCCCGAACGGGGCCUAAAGGCUAUCAGGAUAGCGAGGGGCGGCGGCUUGCUAGUGGUGUCCCCUAUGUCGAACGUCGAAGCUCAGUGCAUCUUGCUCGCACCCUUGAGACGAGCUCCCCCACGUGUCCACUAGUAGCUUCCAUAGCUGCAAGAAAGACACCCGUUUGUAUAACAGAUCAACUGGAUGUCUGAUGAGUUGUCCCUCUAUCAAAGCUUUAUUCCUCGUCACGAUCCGCCUAUCCCUCCCAUUAGUGGAUGAUACCAACCAAUAGAACUCUGAGAACCCACUCGGAUUCCAUGAGGAGCAUGCUACUGUCCGUACAGCGCUCCACACAAAUUGGGCCAUAAUGCAUUGAAAUAAGAUGUGAUCAAGAUCAUCACAUUCCCCACACCAGAUGCAUUUACCAUCGCCCCGACCUUUUCUUUUAUACACUUCGUCACCACUCGUGAUUCUAUUGCGUGCCACUUGCCAUAGAAAGAUUUUUAUUUUGGCAAGUAACCUUGCCUUCCAUACCCCGGAUAGGUCACAAGGGGUUACAAAUUUGAAGAUCUCCUUCUAUAAAGAGCCUAUAUAAAAUUGGCCGGAUGGCUCCAAAACGCCAAACUACCUCGUCGGUUCCCUGACUAAGCUGGUGCCCUCGAAGUUUUAUACAUAGGUUUCCCACUCUAUGACUUCUGCGUCCCCAAGGAUCGGCGGAACUAUGGUGCCCAUUGGCCAUGUUGCCAUUGUUGGGAAACGUUGUGUGGGAAACAAAAAAUUUCCUACGCUCACCAAGAUCAAUCUAGGAGAUUACCAUCUACGAGAGGAGAGAUUGAAUCUACAUACCCUUGUAGAUCGCUAAGCAGAAACGUUGAGAAACGUGGUAGAUGUAGUCGGAUGUCUUCGCGAUCCAAUCAUGAUCUGUCACGCGAACUCCCGAUCCAAGUGUCAAACGAACAGCACCUCCGCGUUCCACACACGUAUGGCUUGAUGACGCCUUCACCUCCUUGAUCCAGCGAGCGAUGGUGAAGUAGUAGCUCGAGUCCUCCAGCAGCACGACGGCGUGGUGGCGGUGGUGGUGGCGAAAUCUCAGUAGAGCUUCGCUAAGCACUACGGAUAUGAAGAGGGAUGUGAGGGAGAGGAGAGGUAGCGCCGUGGCGUAGAGAUUGAAGGAAAUAUGCCCUAGAGGCAAUAAUAAAGUUAUUAUUUAUUUCCUUAUUUCAUGAUAAAAGUUUAUUAUUCAUGCUAUAAUAUGCCCUAGAGGUAUGCCGUCGAGGGAUAACGACUCCAGCUCCGCCGGCUCGGCAUGUUCGCCUCCGCGGCUAGGGCGCUCCUGGGAGCCAUCGCCUGCUCGUGAGAGAUCUUUCAAGGUCUCUGCGUGGCGGCGAGCCCCCUCUCUUUUUUCCGCAACCUUGGUCGUCGCUCCCUUGUUACGAGUAGUUCUCAACCUAGAGCUCUGCUCACCGGCCAUGGCAACGACGGACGAAGAAGAAGCACUUAUGAGGAGGAAACAUAGAGUAAUUUUCUGUUAGGUAGUUCCCCCUUUUAUAACCUAAGUACUAGCACUAGUACUAAUACCUGCAUAGUGGGAGCACGUUCAGGUUUGGUAUGUACUAGUAGGUGUGAGCAGUCUUUCGAAUGUGAUGGGAACAAGGUAAAGAUUAAUUGAUGGUUUUGGUUUCGAGGCCCGAAACGGCUCCCGAUGAGUUUAGCGGAACAUAAAUUUCAAGUACUACACUGCUCAAAUGCGUAAAUAUUAUGUUACUGUCAAAAAUUGGCACAAAACACGAAGGAGACCAAUGGAAGUACUACUAGCAACCCAUGAUUUAACUACUCGCAUGCGCGCAGUGGAGUAAUAAUGUCUUUCUUCCGCCCUCACGUCCACUCAAUUUGCAUGCGCUGUAUUAAUUGACCAUCAAUGAAGUGAACGACUUUACACGCGUAAAAUUAUCACAUGGGGUGGAUCUUGGUACAAAAUUGCAUCCGCCCAUGUACCCGCGUGUGCGUGCGAGGGAAUGAGUGCGUGCGUGGCAUGCGUGCACAUCUUCGCUUCACGCAUGUACCGCCAGUAUGGCUCAGGGAGGACGAGUACAUUCUUCUGGAACCAGCAACACGUCACUGUGAUCAAUCCACGCAAGGAGGUCGCGACAACGCCUUCACAUGUGUCACGUGGCUUCAUGAACUGUAAGAGAGACACUGUGUAGCGUGCCAUUGGUAUUAUAAUUUACGUGUUUUGCACAUACUCAAAGUACUAGUAAGGUACACGUGCAUUGCACGCAUCAAAUUUUGCAACCAAAUUAUGAAUAAAUACCACACUAUAGCAUAUAAGCUCUGAGUCAUAUAUGCCUGAUGUAGCCCUUCGUUUAAUUCUUAUAGUUCAUCUCAUUCAAAAUCAAUUAGUUUUUAUAAAAAAGCUAAGAACGCGGGAAUAGGAAAAACAUGGGAUUAUAGUGGAAUGUCGUCUUGAAUUCUACAGGAUUGUACGAGUGUUUGAUUGUGCAUAGAAAAAACGCAGAAUUCUUUCAAAGAGGUUUGAGUGGAUGGGAUGUUUCCUAUGAAAUCUAGUGCAAAUGAAUCAUAUGGACAAAUUCCUAUGGUUUACAAUCCUACGAAUCAAACAACCAAGAUCGAGAAAAUUCCUAAUGAUUAGAAUCCUCCAAAAUUCCUUUGAGAAUCCUUUGAAUCAAAGAAGCCCUUAAUCUAUUUUAUGAUUCAUGGAAUUGUGCGUUGUAAAGCAUAAAGUAAAAACAAAUAAUGGCAAUUCAACUAGAAAAAAGAAUUGGGCAGUUAUGAUACGGAAGAUUCUAGAACAAAAGAGAACCACUAUUGUUUUGAGGUUUCUGCAUUAUGCUUAAGUUCUACCAUGGAGUCUGAUAGAUUGUACAUGUGUCAAAAUCCGGUGGGGGGCUAGAAGAUAGUGCGAGGGGCCGAGUGGAGGGAGACUAUGAAGAAAUACACAAGUGCGAGAUCGAUAUUUAGAGAGAGGGGGCGAGAACGUGCACUGUUGCACGCAGUGGCGGAGCCAUGAAAAAUAAAUGAGCUAGGGGGGCAAGCAUUGCUAAUCCUUUACGAGGAGGGUCAAUUCAUGAACUUAAACCAUUUUUAGCAGCAAUUGUCUAAUGAUCACAUUCAUAUUAGCCUCGAUAUAUAGUGAUGUUAGGGGGGCAGGGCCCUUACUGCCCCCUGUCUUCGCCAUUGUGCACGCAUCUGAGAGAUGAAGCGGAAGGCAUGGAUGACAAGAGGGGGACGUUGGGUAUAUAAUUAAUGUGGGUGUAUUAGCUAUAUAUGUUAAUCCUAUAUAGAGAGGUAUAGAUUGAUCGAUGUGGACAUGGGAAAGAGGGUGAGACCUCACUGGAUAUAUCGAUUGAUUGGUUUGUGUGGAAAACUAUGAAAGACCUAGCUAUAUACACACAUACAUAGAGGAACAUCGAUCAUUGCGCAUGCACGCGUGAGAGAUAAAGAAUGCCCGAUAUGAUGGAGAGGGGGAUGUGUGUGGGUGUGUGCCUUCAUGGGAGACCGACCUGAAGAAAAAGAUUGCAUGUGUGCGAUGGAUAAUGCCGAUCGGUAGUGUGUGUGCAUGUAUGCAUAAAAGGAAGUUAGUGGUACAAUUAUAAAGAGAAGAUGACUGUGUGGGUGUAAAAGACUAGGUGAGGUCAUAAUCAAUGUAAAGUUGAAUUCAAAUAUUUGAAUAAGAGAUCCUGAUGUUUGAAACUCAUGCAUGCAUGAAUAUAACGGAGAUCUGCAUGGUGUGGUUUGGAAACGAGCAUGUUGUAAUGUAUACACAUUGAACAAGGUCAGCUGAUUUGAAUUUAAGAUACCGAUGGCAGACAUCAUUUGGCCACGUCGCAUCCAUGCAUGGACACACUAUUCUAAUUGAAUAUGAUGGGCGGCUUUCGCAUCACACAUCUAUAUCUAUACCCCUAUAUAUAUAUUAUAUAUAUUAUAUUUUUUAAUAUUGUGUGCGGGUAACUUUAACUUUGAAAGAUGGUCGUUGGAUAAGGUGAAUCCGAUGGUUCAAAGAUGACAAAUUUGAGCACUACUGGCCGUUGGAUAUCAUCUAGAUUUCACCAGAUUUCGCCACAUGUAUAAUCUAGAAGACUCCAUGGUUCAACUUAAGCAUAAUGCACAAACAUAAAAACACAAGCACUUCUUAUUUGUUCUAGAAUCUUCUGUAUCAGAAUUGCCCAAAUGUUUUUCUACAUGAUUUGCCAUUAUUUGUUUUUACUUUAUGUCUUACAACGCACAAUUCCAUGAAUCUUAAAAUAGAUUAGCUUUCUUAUAAAAACUAGAUGAUUUUGAAUGAAAUGAACUAUAAGAAUUAAACGAACAUCUACAUCAUGCAUAUAUGACUCAAAGCUUACAUGCUAUAAUGUGGUAUUUAUUCAUAAUUUGGUUGCCAAAUCUCAUGCGUGCAAUGCACGUGUACCUUACUCUAGUCUAAAUGGUGUUUGUGUGUGUGUUGUGCGUGUUGAGGUGCAAAUUGUCUUCUUUGUUUGGGUACACGUUAAGCUUGUUCUUCCGAAAUUUCAAGCCGCGCCUUGUUAUGCCGAAAAUUCAAGCUAGCGUCUCUGUCUAUCAUGCUGCGAAACUCCCGCCUGUUCAACCCGCGCCUUGUUAGCCCGAAAUAUUUAAGAUAUAUCUUUGUCUUGUUGUGCUCCGACAACUCCCUCCAUCUCAACCCGCGCCUUGCUAUUCCGAAAUUACAACGCGCGCGAAAACUCCCACCUCCUGUGAAAUCCCGACACGCGAAAUGUCCGUGGUACCCCUGAACCGAAAUAACCGCCUCAAAUCGGUGGGGGUACUUUUGUAACUUACCCCACAUUUCGGACAAGCGCGUCCCUAAGCCAUGGUUCCCCGCUGCCAUCCCAUCCGCCCACCCAUUCGUACACCGAGGCCGCGAAAACCCGUGAUGAAACCCCACACCCUGCUCCGUCCGCCACCCAGCCGGAGCCUCUUCCCCGACGACGUCAUCCACAGCAACACCUCGACGUCCCUCAUCCACCGUACCGGAUGAGGAUCCGUCAUCGAUCUCGUUGUCCCGCCGGUUCAGCCACCCCGUCCUCCACCUCCAAGGAGCUGCCCCGACAUUCCCCUCGUCUUUUGCGCCAUCUCCAUUCCCACACCGUCAUCUUCACCUGCACCACCGGAAGAGCAUCAUCAUCACCGUUUCCUUGGAUGAAGCUGCGGCCUAAUCGGCGCCACCAAAGUGGUUGUACACUAAUCGUCGCAUUUUCUUAUUGAUUCGAUCUCACGGUGCUGCCGGCGCUCAGUCCCGAGCCGACACGGCGCGGCUCCAUCCACGGCGGCGUCGCCGGCCACUUCCUCCACGGUGUCGCUCCCUCGGCGGCGACGUCCACAUCAGUAGGAGCUACUGCUGCUUUAGCUCUCGCUCACGCUGCUGCUCUGCUCUUGCUCUCGGUCCCCUGCCUGGUCUGCUCUUUCUAUUGCUCUUGCUCUCGCUCUUGCUCUUGCUUGCGAUGCUGCUCCGAUUUAGGUACACUUCAGUCGACUGAAUCGACUUUUGGGUCAGUCGAUUUUCNNNNNNNNNNNNNNNNNNNNNNNNNNNNNNNNNNNNNNNNNNNNNNNNNNNNNNNNNNNNNNNNNNNNNNNNNNNNNNNNNNNNNNNNNNNNNNNNNNNNNNNNNNNNNNNNNNNNNNNNNNNNNNNNNNNNNNNNNNNNNNNNNNNNNNNNNNNNNNNNNNNNNNNNNNNNNNNNNNNNNNNNNNNNNNNNNNNNNNNNNNNNNNNNNNNNNNNNNNNNNNNNNNNNNNNNNNNNNNNNNNNNNNNNNNNNNNNNNNNNNNNNNNNNNNNNNNNNNNNNNNNNNNNNNNNNNNNNNNNNNNNNNNNNNNNNNNNNNNNNNNNNNNNNNNNNNNNNNNNNNNNNNNNNNNNNNNNNNNNNNNNNNNGACCGGCGGUGGGGAGUGUUUUUGGGGCGGGCAGGGCGGCGCACCGCCGGCCGCGGGCGGCGGGGGGCUGCUGUUUGGCCGGUGGUGGCUGGCGGCUCGGAGGGGUGGAGGUUGAAGAUGAACCACAUGCCCUUGAUUUUGUAUCCAACGGCUGCAAAGUCGACUGACCAGAGAUGAAAAAGUCAGUCGACCGACAUGUAGCCUCACCUUGCUAGUGCGUUUAGUUUCGACAGAAAAAUUCAGUUUCGACAGCAAAAUUCAGUUUCGAUAGUUAAGUUCAGUUUCAACAGUUAAGUUCAGUUUCGACAGUUAAAUUCAGUUUCGACAGUUAAGUUCGAAGAUGAGCGGCUGAUGUAUUUUACAUCUAGCACUUUGUGGUUAUGUAUUUUACAUCAUGUAUUGGAGAUGUUAUUAGAAUUCCACUCAGAUUAACGUUGUUCGUUGUCUCUCUUGUCCUGCUUCAGCCUUGGCGUCGUACAACUCACCGGAGCUGCUCUAAUGACGAAACCCUCCAUCACAACGGAGUAGUACCUCGGGCUCCAUCUCUAGAUGCCUAAGAUCUUCUUCCCCUCCUCCGACAGCCAAGUCAGCCGGAGCAUCCUCACCGGCCAACCCAAUCACGCUGAGAUCAACAUGGAUUCGCCAAAGAGGUUGUACACUUGUUGCAUCUCUUUUUUACUCUACAUGUUAUAUAUAUUGUCCACUAAGCACUCGUAGUAAUGGGAAAUACGAUUAUUUUAUCCUACUAUAUGACAAGCAGUGAGGUACCAGGCAACUUAGCUAUCCGUGAUGGACUCUCUUGAACGCCAUCAUUAUUUAUCUCUGCGCGUUUGAGCUAUGUAUUUGUUGAUGGGCCUGGGAGUUGAGCUAGUAUGGCAGUGGCCUGGGUCCAAAGUAAUAGAAGUAGCACAAAACAUUUUUUUAGUGUAGGAUUUUCCUUGAUCAAGCCUGCCUACUAGAAUCACCAGUGCUUGAAAGGAAAAGUUAAUGAAAAACAUAGGAAUUGGAAAGUUUCCUAUGGUACUACUUUUCAUGAAUUUGGUGCAAAGGAAUGGAGCAAAGGAAAACUGUAGGAUUUGUUCCUUUAGUGUCUCCUUGAAAGAAAAACUGUAGGAAUUCUAAUUACCACUUCUCCUCCUUUUCAUAUUCCUAUUCAUCAAGGACAAGACUAAGAGAUAGUAGCAUAAUAGCAUUAUAAUCGUACAUUUUCUUGUGGUUUGACUUGAUCUCACCAUGCUUUUUUGCAUCCUGUGAUCUUCCAAUUGUUGUGAAUCAAACACCCAGAUUGGCAGAAAUCAUGUGUUUUUAAAUUCUCUGUUUUGCACGUGCAUUCCUAUCCUAUUCAUGUCGAUUUCCUAUCCAUGCAUUGUUCGAAUCCUCAAAUUCAAACAAGCCCUUAGUCAAUUACUUAUGUUACAGAUAUGUGUCAAAGAAAACCUUGUGUGGUUUGUUCUGCUCCUGCGGCGCUGUGUUCCACCCCAGCUCAGCUAUUCCAACAACGGAAGGGUUCACCACAGCAGGGAUCCGCUCUCCAGACUGUCUUUCGCUGCCUCAGAUCUUCUUCCCCACCACCGGCAACCACGACAAAUGCAUUACCAUCAUCAACUAAGCAGAUGACCUUGAGGACUACACGGGUCCGCAAGAGAGGUCGCACUCUUCCGUGUCUGCUUACGUUAUGCGUCUCUUAAUAUGAUGACAUGCUACAUUAUCGUCGUGUUCACCUAUUAGACGCCGAGUCAGGUCCAAACUAAUGCUGAAAGUUGAGUUUUUAAAUGGUUGUGGGGUACAUAUUGGGGCAGCAAUCACUACUAUCUGUCUACUAUCCGGUUAAUCUCUGGUGUCUACUAUGAGUUUCAUGUUGGGUGCAAACAAACAUUAAAGGAGCCAUUAUCUGUAUUUUUUAACUAAAACUAUCAUCUACUUGCUAUCAUUGGUUUUGGGUCUAUCCACAGUUUGGUACCAUCACUCUUGAUUUGUGCAUGCACUCCUUACAUAAUCUCACUAUGUUUUAUUCCUAUGCAUGCCAGUUAUUGUACACAAUGGAACUGAUCAUGUAGAGCAAAAGAGAUGAGCCUUGCAUGGCAAUAAAAUUUCAUGCAGACGUUGUUCCAUGGUGGGCGCAAAGGCAGCCCCCCCCUCCACCCAUUUCGGAUCGUAAUCAAGAGGAAGAUAACUGUUAUGAGGGGGAUUCAGAAGGAGAAGACCACUCCUAUUUACCCCAUGAGGUUUUCGCUCUAACUUGGCAUGCUGAUGUUAGUAAUAUCAUGCAUAUGCUGCCUUGCAUUGCUUACUGUAUACAUUAAAGAUGUCAUCUGCUUAGUUUAGACAUGCUUUGUUUCAAUUCCAUCUGUUUAAUUUCUUUAUCGUAUAUGUGAAUCAUGCAAUGCCAUCUUGUCUUGCUAGGCAUCAUAUAUGUGAAUUUUGCAAUGCCACCUUGGUUAGCCAGUCAUCUUAUAUGUGAAUUAUAUCAUGCCAUCAUUUUUUUAUUACAUGUUAAAUUUGUCAACAAUUUUAGUGAAUUCAAUUACUCUUCCUGUGCAUCAGCCAUUCGGCACGGUCAUGGAAAAAUCUGGAGUGGAAACAAGGUCUUCAGAGCAGACAAUGCUAUCUGACAAAGCGCAUGUCUUGCUGGUUACUGAUAGCUCCUCAAAGGAGGAUUCAGAGACAGAUGACCAGUCAUAUCCCCCCCCCCCCGAGGUGCAUGCCCUAACUUGGCAGGGUUAUGUUUCUCAUAUCGUGCGUAUGGUAUCUUGCAUUGCUAUGUCAUUUGCUUAGUUUAGACAUGCUUUGUGUGAAUGCCCCAUGUUUAGUGUCUAAUUACCAUAUAUGUGAAUUAUGCAAUGCCAUCUUGUUGCAAGACAUUAUAUAUGUGAAUUAUGCAAUGUUAUCUUGUUGCAAGGCAUUAUGUAUGUGAAUUAUACAAUGCCAUGCUGUUUAGGCAAGCGUCAUAUAUGUGAAUUAUAUCAUGCCGUCCUUUUUUGUAUUUCUCAUUGCUUUUGUCGACAAUGUUUGUAUAUUCAACUGCUCUUCCUGUGCAUCAGCCAUUUGAAUUGGUGAUGGAGAAAUCUGGAGUGAAAACAAGGUCUUCAGAGCAGACAAUGCUACCUAUUGAAGCAAAUAUCUUGCUGGUUACAGAUAGCUCUUCAGAGGAGGAUUCAGAGGUAGAUGACCAGUCUUAUUAUCCCCCUGAGGUGUAUGCUAAAACUUGGCAGAGUUAUAUUACUCAUAUAAUGCAUAUGUUGUAUUGCAAUGAUUAGUUUUUACAUCAUAUACACAAUAUUGAAUGCCAUCUCCUUAGUUGACACAUCAUAUAUGCGAUUGCCCUCUGCUCACUUCCUUAGUAUAUAAACCAUAUAUUUGAAUUAUGUCAUGCCAUGAUGUUUACAUAGACAGCAUGUAUCUGAAUUAUGGCAUGCCAACCCAUUUUCUAAAGACAUAAUAUAGUUAUAUCAUCUCAUCAUGUUUACAUAGUCAUCAUAUUUUAAACUAUGUCAUUCUAUCCGUGAAUUAUAUCAUGCCAUCAUGUUUCCAUCGACGGCAUGUUUGUGAUUUAUGGCAUGCCAACCACUUUAAUAGACACAUCAUAUAGUUAUAUCAUGUCAUCCUGUUUACAUAGUCAUCAUAUUUUGAAGUAUGUCAUUCUAUCCUGUUUAGUUAGCCAUCAUACAUGUGAAAUUGUGUCAUGCUAUCCUGUUUAAUUAGCCAUCAUAUAUGUGAAAUUAUGUCCUGCUAUUUUGUUUGCUUAGACAACAUAAAUGUGAAUUAUUUCAUGCCCUAUUUUCUUCCCUACUAUCCAUUGCACCUGUCUAUCUUACAAUGUCUGUACAUUCAAUUACUUUUCUUGUUUAUCAGCCAUUUCAAUUAGAGGGAGUGAUGGCAGUAUCUGUGGGAGUAAAAACACGGUCUUCAAAAAAGAUCGUGCUACCUGUCGAUGCAGAUAGAACCACGGUUCUACUUACCCAAGAACCAGCCCCGCCACACAUAACCCACACUCUUGCAGAUUGUACUCCUACCCAGUUGGACAGAGAACUAGCUACACCCCUUCUAACCCCAACCCCAGCAGAUAGACACCCAGUUCUCGUUGACACAACACCGUCUCCACCACAGAGCACCCAAACACGAGCAGUUAGUAAGGCAACUGCAGUGCCCAAAUCACGAGGACCACCACUCCGAACCCGAAGUCAACGCUUAAAGCAGAAGAAGAAUUGUUCUCAGGUCAGGUUCCAUAGCUAUGGUUCAUACUACUUUGCUCUUGCGUCACUGUAUUUAUUGAUACCAACUAAUUUCAAAUUUGAAGGAUGCAAUUGAAACUCCAAUAGCGCAACAGGUAUGUUUUAAACCUGUUUCUUCAACGUGUUUGGAUGUUUGUUGUUGUAACUUGCUCUAUGUUGAUUUCAGUUUCAAUUGAAUAAACAGUUAUGUUCUCAUGCCAUGCACAUUACAAGUGUUGUUAUUACUGUGUAGUUUCCCACGCUGAUAUUCUGUCUAUGUUGCUUUGUCUUAAAUAUAUAUGAUUCAAACUGUAUCUAUCUUGAUUUGGCAACAUAAACUAGAAUGAUAUAGACCAUACAGUGACCAUACUACAUAGAUAUAUGUUUGUUUCAUGCUAUUAUCCUGUCCACCUUACUACUAAACUGGUUUACCAAAAUGAGUUUCAUAUACUACAUUGUAAACCUGAGAUGUGUUUGUUUGUUUCUCUUUUAGAACGCGGAUAAAAUAUUGGAGAAAAGAGUACCCCGUUAUGCAAUGGUAAAGGAAGUAAUGCAGAUAAGGUUCGAGAUAGUGAGACAUCCCUGUUGGUCUCCAAGAAAGCUGAUAAAAACUAUAUUGAAGGCACUGAGACAACCCCAAAGUCCUGUCUUGAUGUAGUGUUCGAGUUACUGGCUACCACUGUUGGCACCAGCUCUUCGAACUCGUUGCCUGAAUCCGUUCGGACUCUUGAGUCUUAACUUCAAGUUGAAAGACAUUGAUCAGAUGUUAUGCGACAGGAAGUCAAAGGACUGAGGAAGUCCCUGCAGAAUUCAGAUGCAUACUUUCUGGUGCAACAGCAAGUGCUGGAGGACUUAAGCGCCAAACAAGGGAAAGUUAAUAAGCUUGCUAAGCAUCUUGCCAGCAUUAUGGGUACCCAGGAUAUUGUUUCUUGAGAUCUUCUUAAGUGGUUUCAGUUUUGGACUUGUUUUGCUGCGGCGUUUAUAUGUUGUUGUGUUCCCUAUAUUUGCACUGGUGGCGAACUUUGAUGCCUAGUGGAUGUAAUAUGUGUAAUAGCCGUGAUAGCCUAGCGUAAGUUGCUUGCUUAUUUAUUUCCUUGUUGUCUUGUUUAUUUGUUUGCUUGUAGUCAGUGGAGUUCUUUUUUCGCGGGUUGCUAGUGGCUGCAAUAACCUAUUUUUUAAAACUAGGCCACAAUAACCAUGGGCUAAUAUUUACUUUAGUGACACUCGGCCUCCUACGGGCCAUAGAAACAGUGGGCCUUCUACGGGCCGUAGAAACAAUGGGCCUUCUACGGGUCGUAGAAACAAUGGGCCUUCUACGGGUCAUAUUAUCAAUGGGCCUUAUACAGGCUGUAUGAUCGAUUGGCCAAACAUGGGCCAAACAGACCGCAUUCUGGCCGUAAACGGGCUAGAGUUGGAAUCAUCCAUUCAUGGGCCGGCCAUAAUGGGCCAUCGUUAAUAGGCCGUAUUUGAUGACGCUAUGAAAACGGCCCAACGUAUUAACGGACCACAAAUGGGCCAACAGUAACCACAGGCUGAAUUUGGCCCACAAGCAAAAAAUGACAGUAACGGGCCGUAAGUAAACGAAUGCUGGAAAUGAGCCCAACCAUAAAUGGGCUCUGAGAAGGCCGAAAGAUAACAUGGGCUAGAAAUGGCCCAACGGAAUAAUGGGCCGUUAAUGGGUAUAAAGUGAUACACUGUUCUUUACGGGCCGGUUUCACCAUGGGCCGUUAAUGGGUGUAAAGUGAUGCACUGUUCAUUAUGGGCCAGUUUCACCACGUGCCAUUAAUAGGCCAAGAGUUACAUAGGGCCUGAUAGGGGUCGAAAGACGUCAUGGGCCAUACAUGGGCCAGAAGUGAAAACGGGCUGGAAUCAUAUUGGAUGGCCCAGAUGACGCUACUGGGCCUAAUUCAAAUAGGGUGUAACGGGCCUUGGGUUAGCGGGUUGUAAAUGGGCUAUAUGUGAACAUGACGUUAACAGGAUUUCCAUGGGCCGGCCCGCCACCUUUUGACCAAGUCAACGGGCCGGCCUUUUCACAGGAAUGGGCCUCUGUUGGGCCGUGCCAAGUGUCGACGUAUCAUAGGCGCCUUCUGUGCAAUGAGUGGAUGACAUCUGUCCCAGCGAUGAGCCGACACGUGUUUCCUCCAGCCAAUGAUGAUUUUACAUGUGGAAAAUCCUCAUUGGUCGGGGCUGUUAACGGGUUAUCGGAUCCAAAACCCGAACCGAUAGCUUAACAGCGUUUCGUUACGGUGGAUGCCAUGUGUCGGUCACCCUUGAUGAAAGCACUUCUGUGACGCGUGAUUUAUCGUCAUGGAAGUGGACACUUCCGUGAUGAUAAUUUUGGUAAUGUCAUGGAACACUUCUACGACAACUGAAGGAAAUAUGCCCUAGAGGCAAUAAUAAAGUUAUUAUUUAUUUCCUUAUUAAAUGAUAAAUGUUUAUUAUUCAUGCUAGAAUUGUAUUAACCAGAAACAUAAUACAUGUGUGAAUACAUAGACAAACAGAGUGUCACUGGUAUGCCUCUACUUGACUAGCUUGUUGAUCAAAGAUGGUUAUGUUUCCUAACCAUAGACAUGUGUUGUCAUUUGAUUAACGGGCUCACAUCAUUAGGAGAAUGAUGUGAUUGACAUGACCCAUUCCGUUAGCUUAGCAUACGAUCAUUUAGUAUAUUGCUAUUUCUUUCUUCAUGACUUAUACAUGUUCCUAUGACUAUGAGAUUAUGCAACUCCCGUUUACCGGAGGAACACUUUGUGUGCUACCAAACGUCACAACGUAACUGGGUGAUUAUAAAGGAGCUCUACAGGUGUCUCCAAAGGUACAUGUUGGGUUGGCGUAUUUCGAGAUUAGGAUUCGUCACUCCGAUUGUCGGAGAGGUAUCUCUGGGCCCUCUAGGUAAUGCACAUCACUUAAGCCUUGCAAGCAUUGCAACUAAUGAGUUAGUUGCGAGAUGAUGUAUUACAGAACGAGUAAAGAGACUUGCCGGUAACGAGAUUGAACUAGGUAUUGAGAUACCGACGAUCGAAUCUCGGGCAAGUAACAUACCGAUGACAAAGGGAACAACGCAUGUUGUUAUGCAGUCUGACCGAUAAAGAUCUUCGUAGAAUAUGUGGGAGCCAAUAUGAGCAUCCAGGUUCCGCUAUUGGUUAUUGACCGGAGACGUGUCUCGGUCAUGUCUACAUUGUUCUCGAACCUGUAGGGUCCGCACGCUUAAAGUUACGAUGACAGUUUCAUUAUGAGUUUAUAUGUUUUGAUGUACCAAAAGUUGUUCGGAGUCCCGCAUGUGAUCACGGACAUGACGAGGAGUCUCGAAAUGGUCGAGACAUGAAGAUUGAUAUAUUGGAAGCCUAUGUUUGGACAUCAGAAGUGUUCCGGGUGAAAUCGGCAUUUUACGGGAGUACCGGGAGGUUACCGGAACCCCCCGGUAACUUAAUGGGCGUUAAUGGGCCUAGUGGAGGAAUAGGAGAGGAGGCCAAGGGGCAGCCGCGCGCCCCUCCCCCCCAAGUCUGAAUUGGACAAGGAGGGGGGGCGGCGCCCCCCCCUUCCUUUCCCCUCUCUCUCUCCUCCCACCCAAGUCCUAGUCCAACAUGGAAAAGGGGGGAGUCCUACUCAUCGGGAGUAGGACUCCUCCUGGUGCGCCCUCUUCCGGGCCGGCCGCACCCCCCCCUUGCUCCUUUAUAUACGGGGGCGGGGGGACACCCCAAAGACACAACAAUUGAUCCCUUGGAUCUCUUAGCCGUGUGCGGUGCCCCCUUCCACCAUAGUCCACCUCGAUAAUACUGUAGCGGUGCUUAGGCGAAGCCCUGCGACGGUAGAACAUCAAGAUCGUCACCACGCCGUCGUGCUCACAGAACUCUUCCCCGACACUUUGCUGGAUUGGAGUCCGGGGAUCGUCAUCGAUCUGAACGUGUGCUAGAACUCGGAGGUGCCGUAGUUUCGGUGCUUGAUCGGUCGGGCCGUGAAGACGUAUGACUACAUCAACUGCGUUGUUAUAACGCUUCCGCUAUCGGUUUACAAGGGUACGUGUACAACACUCUCCCCUCUCGUUGCUAUGCAUCACCAUGAUCUUGCGUGUGCGUAGGAAUUUUUUUGACAUUACUACGUUCCCCAACAGUGGCAUCAGAGCCUAGGUUUUAUGCGUUGAUGUUAUAUGCACGAGUAGAACACAAGUGAGUUGUGGGCGAUACAAGUCAUACUGCUUACCAACAUGUCAUACUUUGGUUCGGCGGUAUUGUUGGAUGAAGGCGGCGCGGACCGACAUUACGCGUACGCUUACGCAAGACUGGUUCUAUCGACGUGCUUUGCACACAGGUGGCUGGUGGGUGUCAGUUUCUCCAACUUUAGUUGAACCGAGUGUGGCUACGCCCGGUCCUUGAGAAGGUUAAAACAUCACUAACUUGGCGAACUAUCAUUGUGGUUUUGAUGCAUAGGUAAGAACGGUUCUUGCUCAGCCCGUAGCAGCCACGUAAAAUUUGCAACAACAAAGUAGAGGACGUCUAACUUGUUUUUGCAAGGCAUGUUGUGAUGUGAUAUGGUCAAGACGUGAUGCUAUAUUUUAUUGUAUGAGAUGAUCAUGUUUUGUAACCAAAGUUAUCGGCAACUGGCAGGAGCCAUAUGGUUGUCGCUUUAUUGUAUGCAAUGCAAUCGCCUUGUAAUGCUUUACUUUAUCACUAAGCGCUAGCGAUAGUUGUAGAAGCAUAAGAUUGGCGAGACGACAACGAUGCUAUGAUGGAGAUCAGGGUGUCGCGCCGGUGACAAUGGUGAUCAUGAUGGUGCUUCGAAGAUGGAGAUCACAAGCACAAGAUGAUGAUGGCCAUAUCAUAUCACUUAUAUUGAUUGCAUGGGAUGUUUAUCUUUUAUGCAUCUUAUCUUGCUUUGAUUGACGGUAGCAUUAUAAGAUGAUCCCUCACUAAAUUAUCAUAGUAAAAGUGUUCUCCCUGAGUAUGCACCGUUGUGAAAGUUCUUCGUGCCGAGACACCACGUGAUGAUCGGGUGUGAUAGGCUCUACGUUCAAAUACAACGGGUGCAAAAUAGUUGCACACGCGGAAUACUCAGGUUAUACUUGAUGAGCCUAGCAUAUAACAGAUAUGGCCUCGGAACACGGAGACCGAAAGGUCGAGCGUGAAUCAUAUAGUAGAUAUGAUCAACAUAUUGAUGUUCACCGUUGAAACUACUCCAUCUCACGUGAUGAUCGGACAUGGUGUAGUUGAUAUGGAUCACGUAAUCACUUAGAGGAUUAGAGGGAUGUCUAUCUAAGUGGGAGUUCUUAAGUAAUAUGAUUAAUUGAACUUUAAUUUAUCAUGAACUUAGUCCUGAUAGUAUUUUGCAAAUUAUGUUGUAGAUCAAUAGCUCGCGUUGUUGCUUCCCUAUGUUUUAUAUGUGUUCCUAGAGAAAACUAAGUUGAAAGAUGUUAGUAGCAAUGAUGCGGACUUGGUCCGUGAUCUGAGGUUUAUCCUCAUUGCUGCACAAAAGAAUUAUGUCCUUUAUGCACCGUUAGGUGACAGACCUAUUGCAGGAGCGGAUGCAGAUGUUAUGAACGUUUGGCUAGCUCAAUAUGAUGACUACUUGAUAGUUUAGUGCACCAUGCUUAACGGCUUAGAAUCGAGACUUCAAAGACGUUUUGAACGUCAUGGACCAUAUGAGAUGUUCCAGGAGUUGAAUUUAUUAUUUCAAGCAAAUACCCGAGUUGAGAGAUAUGAAGUCCCCAACAAGUUCUAUGGCUAAAAGAUGGAGGAGAAUCGCUCAACUAGUGAGCAUGUGCUCAGAUUGUCUGGGUACUACAAUCGCUUGAAUCAAGUGGGAGUUAAUCUUCCAGAUAAGAUAGUGAUUGACAGAGUUCUCUAGUCACCAUCACCAAUUUAGUAGAACUUUGUGAUGAACUAUAGUAUGCAAGGGAUAACGAAAACGAUUCCCGAGCUCUUCGUGAUGUUGAAAUCGACGAAGGUAGAAAUCAAGAAAGAGCAUCAAGUGUUGAUGGUUGACAAGAUCACUAGUUUCAAGAAAAGGGCAAAGGGAAAGAAAGGGGAACUUCAAGUAGAAUGACAAGCAAGUUGUCACUCCCACGAAGAAGCCCAAAGCUGAACCAAAGCCUGAAACUGAGUGCUUACACUACAAAGGAAAUGGUCACUAGAAGCGGAAAUGCCCUGACUAUUUGGUGGAUAAGAAGGAUGGCAAAGUGAACAAGGGUAUAUUUGAUAUACUGGUUAUUGAUGUGUACCUUACUAGUGUUUAUAGUAGCCCCUGAGUAUUUGAUACUUGUUCAGUUGCUAAGAGUAGUAACUCGAAACGGGCGUUGCAGAAUAAACAGAAACUAGUUGAGGGUGAGGUGACGAUGUGUGUUGGAAGUAGUUCCAAGAUUGAUAUGAUCAUCAUCGCACACUCCCUAUACUUUCGGGAUUAGUGCUGAACCUAAAUAAAUGUUAUUUGGUGUUUGCGUUGAGCAUGAAUGUGAUUUGAUCAUGUUUAUUGCAAUACGGUUAUUCAUGUAAGUUAGAGAAUAUUUUUUGUUCUGUUUACAUGAAUAAAACCUUCUAUGGUCAUACACCCAAUGAAAAUGGUUUGUUGGAUCUCGAUCGUGUGAUACACAUAUUCAUAAUAUUGAAGCCAAAAAGAUGUAAAGUUAAUAAUGAUAGUGCAACUUAUUUGUGGCACUGCCGUUUAGGUCAUAUCGGUGUAAAGCGCAUGAAGAAACUCCAUACUGAUGGACUUUUGGAACCACUUGAUUAUGAAUCACUUGGUACUUGCGAACCGUGCCUCAUGGGCAAGAUGACUAAAACGCCGUUCGCCGGAACUAUGGAGAGAGCAAUAGAUUUGUUGGAAAUCAUACAUACAGAUGUAUGUGGUCCAAUGAGUGUUGAUGCUCGUGGCAAGUAUUGUUAUUUUCUAACCUUCACAGAUGAUUUGAGCAGAUAUGGGUAUAUCUACUUAAUGAAACACAAGUCUGAAACAUUUGAAAAGUUCAAAGAAUUUCAGAGUGAAGUGGAGAAUCAUCGUAACAAGAAAAUAAAGUUUCUAUGAUCUGAUCGUGGAGGAGAAUAUUUGAGUUACGAGUUUGGCCUUCAUAUAAAACAAAGUGGAAUAGUUUCACCGCUCACACCACAUGGAACACCACAGCAUAAUGGUGUGUCUGAACGCCAUAACCGCACUUUAUUGGAUAUGGUGCUAUCUAUGAUGUAUCUUACCGAUUUACCACUAUCAUUUUUGGGUUAUGCAUUAGAGACAGUUGCAUUCACUUUAAAUAGGGCACCAUCAAGAUCCGUUUGAGAUGACGCCUUAUGAACUGUGGUUUGGCAAGAAACCAAAGUUGUCGUUUCUUAAAGUUUGGGACUGCGAUGCUUAUGUGAAAAAGUUUCAACCUGAUAAGCUCAAACCCGAAUCAGAGAAGUGUGUCUUCAUAGAAUACCCAAAGGAAACUAUUGGGUAUCUUCUAUCACAGAUCCGAAAGCAAGAUAUUCGUUGCUAAGAUGGAUCCUUUCUAGAGAAGGAGUUUCUCUCGAAAGAAGUGAGUGGGAGAAAAGUAGAACUUGAUAAGGUAAUAGUACCUUCUCCUGAAUUGGAAAAUAGUUCAUCACUGAAAUCAGUUCCAAUGAUUCCUACACCAAUUAGUGAGGAGCUAACGAUGAUGAUCAUGAAACUUCAGAACAAGUUACUACAGAACCUCGUAGGUCUUCCAGAGUAUGGUCUGCACCAGAGUGGUACGGUAAUCCUGUUCUGGAAGUCAUGUUACUAGACCAUGAUAAACCUACGAACUAUGAGGAAGCGAUGAUGAGCCUAGAUUCCGCGAAAUGGUUUGAGGCCAUGAAAUCUGAGAUGGGUUCCAUGCAUGAGAACAAAGUGUGGACUUUGGUGGACUUGCCCGAUGAUCGGCAAGCCAUAGAAAAUAAAUGGAUCUUCAAGAGGAAGACAGACGCUGAUAGUAGUGUUACUAUCUACAAAGCUCGACUUGUCGCAAAAAGUUUUUCAAAAAGUUCAAGGUGUUGAAUACAAUGAGAUUUUUCUCACUCGUAUCGAUGCUUAAAGUCUGUCCGAAUCAUGUUAGCAAUUGCCACAUUUUAUGAAAUCUGGCAAAUGGAUGUCAAAACUGCAUUCCUUAAUGGAUUUAAUAAAGAAGAGUUGUAUAUAAUGCAACCAGAAGGUUUUGUCAAUCCUAAAGGUGCUAACAAAAUGUGCAAGCUCCAGCGAUCCAUCAAUGGACUGGUGCAAGCAUCUCGGAGUAGGAAUAUACGCUUUGAUGAGUUGAUCAAAGCAUAUAGUUUUAUACGGACUUGCAGUGAAGCCUGUAUUUACAAUAAAGUGAGUGGGAGCACUACAGCCUUUCUGAUAAGUAUAUGUGAGUGACAUAUUGUUGAUCAGAAAUGAUGUAGAAUUUUUUCUGGAAAGCAUAAAGAAGUGUUUGAAAGGAGUUCUUUAAAAGAAAGACCUCAGUAAAGCUACUUACAUAUUGAGCAUCAAGAUCUAUUAAGAUAGAUCAAGACGCUUGAUAAGAUUUUCAAUGAGUACAUACCUUGACAAGAUUUUGAAGUAGUUCAAAAUGGAACAGUCAAAGAAAGAGUUCUUGCCUGUGUUGCAAAAGUAUGAAAUUGAGUAAGACUUAAAUCCCGACCACGACAGAAAAUAGAAAGAGAAUGAAAGUCAUUCCCUAUGAUUCAGUCAUAGGUUCUAUAAAAGUAUGCCAUGCUAUGGACCAGACCUAUUGUAUACUCUGCGCUGGUUUGGCAAGGGAAUACAAUAGUGAUCUAGGAGUAGAUCACUGGACAUUGGUCAAAAUUAUCCUUAGUGGAAUAAGGAUAUGUUUCUCGAUCAGAUGACUUUAAGUCUGAAUCUGGAUACAUAUUGAAAGUGGGAGCAAUUAGCUAGAGUAGCUCCGUGCAGAGCAUUGUAGACAUAGAAUAUUUGCAAAAUACAUACGGCUCUGAAUGUGACAGACCCAUUGACUAAACUUCUCUCACAAGCAAAACAUGAUCAUACCUUAGUACUCUUUGGGUGUUAAUCACAUAGUGAUGUGAACUAGAUUGUUGACUCUAGUAAACCCUUUGGGUGUUGAUCACAUGACGAUGUGAACUAUGGGUAUUAAUCACAUACAGAUGUGAAUAUUGGUGUUAAAUCAUAUGGUGAUGUGAACUAGAUUAUUGACUCUAGUGCAAGUGGGAGACUGGAGGAAAUAUGCCCUAGAGACAAUAAUAAAGUUAUUAUUUAUUUCCUUAUUUCAUGAUAAAUGUUUAUUAUUCAUGCUAGAAUUGUAUUAACCAGAAACAUAAUACAUGUGUGAAUACAUAGACAAACAGAGUGUCACUAGUAUGCCUCUACUUGACUAGCUUGUUGAUCAAAGAUGGUUAUGUUUCCUAACCAUAGACAUGUGUUGUCAUUUGAUUAACGGGAUCACAUCAUUAGGAGAAUGAUGUGAUUGACAUGACCCAUUCCGUUAGCUUAGCACACGAUCGUUUAGUAUAUUGCUAUUGCUUUCUUCAUGACUUAUACAUAUUCCUAUGACUAUGAGAUUAUGCAACCCCCGUUUACCGGAGGAACACUUUGUGUGCUACCAAACGUCACAACAUAACUGGGUGAUUAUAAAGGAGCUCUACAGGUGUAUCCAAAGGUACAUGUUGGGUUGGCGUAUUUUGAGAUUAGGAUUUGUCAGUCCGAUUGUCGGAGAGGUAUCUCUGGGCCCUCUGGGUAAUGCACAUCACUUAAGCCUUGCAAGCAUUGCAACUAAUGAGUUAGUUACAAGAUGAUGUAUUACGGAACGAGUAAAGAGACUUGCCGGUAAUGAGAUUGAACUAGGUAUUGAGAUACCGACGAUCGAAUCUCGGGCAAGUAACAUACCGAUGACAAAGGGAACAACGUAUGUUGUUAUGCGGUCUGACCGAUAAAGAUCUUCGUAGAAUAUGUGGGAGCCAAUAUGAGCAUCUAGGUUCCACUAUUGGUUAUUGACCAGAGACGUGUCUCGGUCAUGUCUACAUUGUUCUCGAACCCGUAGGGUCCGCACGCUUAAAGUUACGAUGACAGUUUCAUUAUGAGUUUAUAUGUUUUGAUGUACCGAAAGUUGUUUGGAGUCCCGGAUGUGAUCACGGACAUGACGAGGAGUCUCGAAAUGGUCGAGACAUGAAGAUUGAUAUAUUGGAAGCCUAUGUUUGGACAUCGGAAGUGUUCCGGGUGAAAUCGGCAUUUUACCGGAGUACCGGGAGGUUACCGGAACCCCCCGGUAACUUAAUGGGCCUUAAUGGGCCUAGUGGAGGAAUAGGAGAGGAGGCCAAGGGGGAGCCGCGCGCCCCNNNNNNNNNNNNNNNNNNNNNNNNNNNNNNNNNNNNNNNNNNNNNNNNNNNNNNNNNNNNNNNNNNNNNNNNNNNNNNNNNNNNNNNNNNNNNNNNNNNNNNNNNNNNNNNNNNNNNNNNNNNNNNNNNNNNNNNNNNNNNNNNNNNNNNNNNNNNNNNNNNNNNNNNNNNNNNNNNNNNNNNNNNNNNNNNNNNNNNNNNNNNNNNNNNNNNNNNNNNNNNNNNNNNNNNNNNNNNNNNNNNNNNNNNNNNNNNNNNNNNNNNNNNNNNNNNNNNNNNNNNNNNNNNNNNNNNNNNNNNNNNNNNNNNNNNNNNNNNNNNNNNNNNNNNNNNNNNNNNNNNNNNNNNNNNNNNNNNNNNNNNNNNNNNNNNNNNNNNNNNNNNNNNNNNNNCUUCCCCCCAAGUCCUAGUCCAACAUGGAAAAGGGGGGAGUCCUACUCCCGGUGGGAGUAGGACUCCUCCUGGCGCGCCCUCCUCCUGGCCGGCCGCACCCCCCUUGCUCCUUUAUAUACGGGGGCGGGGGGGCACCCCAAAGACACAACAAUUGACCCCUUGGAUCUCUUAGCCGUGUGCGGUGCCCCCUUCCACCAUAGUCCACCUCGAUAAUACUGUAGCGGUGCUUAGGCGAAGCCCUGCAAUGGUAGAACAUCAAGAUCGUCACCACGCCGUCGUGCUGACAAAACUCUUCCCCGACACUUUGCUGGAUCGGAGUCCGGGGAUCGUCAUCGAGCUGAACGUGUGCUAGAACUCGGAGGUGCCGUAGUUUCGGUGCUUGAUCGGUCGGGCCGUGAAGACGUACGACUACAUCAACCGUGUUGUUAUAACACUUCCGCUAUCGGUCUACGAGGGUAUGUGGACAACACUCUCCCCUCUCGUUGCUAUGCAUCACCAUGAUCUUGCGUGUGCGUAGGAUUUUUUUUGAAAUUACUCCGUUCCCCAACAACAGCACAGGUAUGACUAUCUUGAUUCUGUCAUAAAAUCGUCAUGGAUGUACAUGCAUGACAGAAAAUGCGACCUACUGUGACAAACACUUAUCAUCACGGAAGUGUAUUUUUUUGUAGUGGUGCGUCCCGUCAUAGGCCGGGAGCUCAGUCACAACUCCCUGUGAUGGUGGAGAGGACUAAUCAUCAAUGUAGGCACCAACUCUGGCUUACCCGAGUUGACAUGGACUCGUCCAAGGUGGGUUACCAUCCACACCAUAACCGACAUUGAGUGCCCGCAAGAUGGUCCACACGCUUAAAGUUCGGUGACGAUCGUAAUAAGGGUUUUUGUCUUUUGAUGUACCGAAGGUUGUUCGGAGUCCCGGAUGUGAUCACGGACAUGACGAGGAGUCUCGAAAUGGUCGAGACAUAAAGAUUGAUAUAUUGGAAGCCUAUAUUUGGAUAUUGGAAACGUUCCGGGUGAAAUCGGGAUUUUUCCGGAGUACCGGGGGGUUACCGGAACCCCCUCCCCCGGGGUGGUUAAUGGGCCUACAUGGGCCCUAAGGGAGAAGAGGAGGGCCGGCCAGGGCAGGCCGCGCGCCCCCUUCCCCCCUAGUCCGAGUAGGACAAGGAAGGUGGGGCGGCGCCCCCCUUUCCUCUUUCCCCCUUCCCCUUUCCUUCUCCAACAAGGCAAGAGAGGGGAGUCCUACUCUCGGUGGGAGUAGGACUCCUCCAGGCGCACCCCUAGGGGCUGGCCGCACCUCCCCCUCCCUCCUUUAUAUACGCGGGCAGGGGGCACCCCAGAACACACAAGUUGAUCUUCGUGAUCGUUCCUUAGCCGUGUGCGGUGCCCCCCUCCACCAUAUUCCACCUCGGUCAUAUCGUAGCAGUGCUUAGGCGAAGCUCUGCGUCGGUAUAACAUCAUCACCGUCAUCACGCCGUCAUGCUGAUGAAACUCUCCCUCAACACUCAGCUGGAUCAGAGCUCGAGGGACGUCACCGAGUUGAACGUGUGCAGAACUCGGAGGUGCCGUACGUUCGGUACUUGGAUCGGUCAGAUCGGGAAGACGUACGACUACUUCCUCUAUGUUGUGUCAACACUUCCGUUGCCGGUCUACAAGGGUACGUAGACAACACUCUCCCCUCCCAUCGCUAUGCAUCACCAUGAUCUUGCGUGUGCGUAGGAAAUUUUUAAAAUUACUACGUUCCCCAACAGUAACACGCAUACCCUGACCCUAAUCAGCGGCCACCAUGUGCCAGGAGACGCACCCGUGGAUGUCCAUGGAGAAGCCGAGCAGCCCGUGGAACCUAAGGUGCAUGUGGUACACUAUGUGGCUCGGCGGACGCGCCGGUGGCAACAUGCUCGCCGGGAGAGGCAUAACGAUGUAUCUCCUUGUAUUAUAUCCACUUUCUUGCGGGGUGGUCAGUGUUUAGGAGAUGGGGAAGGAGCCAUAACAGAGAGUGCCCGAGGAAAACACACCCUCAAAAUAGAAAGAAAAGGGACAAAGAGAAGGGAAGGAGCCAAGAGAGAAGAGACGCGCCCACUGCGGCGACAAGUACGACGGCCUCGUUCGGAGGGGCAUGUGCACUAGACCGACGAGAGAACAUCGCGGUGGCGGCGGCGGCAGCGUUACCCAUCCAAGCUCAAUGAUGCACCGGCAGCGACGGCAAGACAGCCGCGGGAAAUCAAGCUAGCUCUUUGCAGGAGUGUUUGAAGACAUCUUGCAUUGCAUGGCACAUGCAUAUGAGGCUACGUACAAUUUUUUAAUGAUUAUUUUCUUUGUUCUCACUUAGCAAAUGCCGACGGAGAUGGACACUCGAAGGCCAUCGCGGGAUAGCAUCCAGGGCCGGAAGGAGACGCGCCUGCGGUGUGUCAGCAUCAAGGGAGCCGCAGAAGAGGCCCUAGCACUUGGUGCACUUACUCCAAAUGUAGACAUGGAUGACGCAACGGCAACAUCAGCUCCAUGAACGUACCACGACGUUGACAGACGCCCGUUGGACUCGCCAGUGGUGUCCUCUUCCAUGUGUGUUUUCACGACAACGGUGGCGAGGCCGCCAGCAUGUAUCGCGAGGCCAACUCCACCUCAGCGAUGACAUCGGAGGGGCUGCUGGUGCACGGCCCAAUGCCAUGUACACCAUCACCACAAUGUACGAGCUGCCAGCAUGCUGCCCGGAGCCAUCUCCUCUUCCUCGAUCCCCUGGACGACGCCCCGAGCUAGACCACAUCCAUGUGGUGAUCAAGUGCAGUUGUACACAAGCAAGUAGGAGAAGGCCGACAUCCAAGGCUGCACCAUCCUCUAUCCGCAACGAGGGAAGAACAAAUUCAUGGUGUCCAUCUUCAAGGAGAUGCCUUCAUGUGUCUUCUCUGUUUAUCUUUGUCUUCCUCUUAUUUCAGCGUAUCCACCGCCGGACAAACACUCAAGAGCUGCAACACACAAGCCAGGUGGAGGCACGCCCGCAGCACAACAUCGAGGAGAUUGCAAAGACGCGGCCACGGCGAGAGCACGCUUGCCGAGCAACCCAGGAGGCAACGACUACAUGCGUAGAUGGAGUCCGCAGGCACCACACUGAGGAGGAUCGUCGCUCUAGCGCGACCAUUGCAGAUGAAUUGCCGGCGGUCGCGGCGCUGCAGUGCCUUCUUCCAUCUGCACUAACACACUACAUCGACAAACAUCCGGGAGAGAAGAUGCAGAGAGCACCCCCAGACGGAGCAUCCACACGUGCGCAAAGUGGCCACGAAUGGCAUGCCGACGACCACGGUGUAUGUCCAGCCGGUGAAGCGGGAAAGGCAUCCAUCAUUAGGUGAAAAGGCAAAGCCGUGUACUCAUGAGGAGGAGGAGGAGGCCAGCGUCUAGAGCUAUACCAUCAUCUACCUCGACGUCAAGGAGGAGAAGAUUCCAGUAACAAUGCAAAUUAUGCUCUGGUAGAGGACGCACGCAGUCGGAGGCAGUGUCACGCGCGCCAAUGGACGUCAACCCGACCGUGAGUACAAAGUAGCCAGAAUGCACAACCACGGAUGACGUGUCGGCGGUCACGCCUCCCCACACGUACAGCGGUGAUGACGUAUGCAUAUCAGAAAACGACCCAGUGAUGCUUUCUAUCUGCAUCAAGACUCGUAUCCGGAAGAAGCCCGUGCCUUCUUCCAUCUACACCGACAUCCUACACCAAUGCAUACGAUGUACAGAAGCAGCGAAGGCAUCCAUCAUCAAGUGAAACACCUGCACACGCCAGAAGGAGGAAGCUAGCCUCCGAGGCUCCACAAAGCAUCCGCCUCUACAACGAGAAGAACAAGAUCAUGGUGUCCGUCUUCUUCAAUGGGACACAUGCAUAUUUAAUAUCUCUCUCUGUCUCUCUCUCUCUCUCUUCGUCUCUCAUUUCAAUGAGCCAUGACGCACAACGCGCCUCCGUGGAUGACUCACACACUCAGCCAGAGGCAACGACUCCAUGUCGCCAAUAUAAGUUGCACCAAAGGGAGGCCACGGAAGGGGCCCUAGCACUUGACGCACUUGUACCCAAGGUAGCCGUGGACAAUGCACUGGCGGAUGCACCCCAUGGACGUACCACGACAUCGACGGACGCGUGCCGGAGAGCUCGUUGGCGGUGUCUUCUUCCAUGCAUGCUUCCACAACGACAGUGGCAAGGCUGUCGGUGAGUAGCUCGGUGCUAACUCCACGCUACCGAUAACAUCGGAUGGGCUGCCGGGGUGCGGCCUGGCGCCAUCUACACCACCCGUGACCAUGUUGAAGUCGUCAUCAUCAACCUCCGGCUCAAUGUGGAAGGCUGCUAUAUCAACAUAUCGUCACCAUCUUCAUCGACUUCACACCCGACGGAGACGCCGACUACAUCGACACGCUGUCAUCCGAGUACAUCAACACGGCGUCGCAAUCUUCAUCAACUCUUCAUCUGGCAAGGGUGUCGUCUACAUUGGUGUCGAAGGAUGUCCACAUGACAUCGCCAUCUGCUUUGACUUAUUGCAUGGCGAGGACACAGACGGCACCGCAUGCCGCCAUUCUUCUAUACCAACCGUGUAACGCCCCGAGACCGACGCUUCAGAAGCCUUCCAUUUAUUUCGUUGUUGUUGUGUGUUUUAUUUGCUUGUUGCAUUCAUCAUCGCAUCAUUCGCUUUGCAUCGGCACUCUGUUGCCGUCAUUGUUUUCAAACUUGCAUCCUCUCGUAGUCGUUUGUGGUUCCCGCGUCCCCCUUGGCUUCGUUGACCAUUCCGAGACCAACCGUGUAAGCGUUCCCCUCUUGUCCAGCCACCGACCCCCCUCUUUCGUGCGUCCGAAAACUUCCCCGAACCCGACCCGGGCUUUCGUUACCGAUGGGUUCAGAUCAUCCCCAAACUUCUAGAAAACAUCUCCGUUUUUUUAUUUGGACUUCCUAACCUAUUUUCCCGGAGCCGUUCGAUCGUGAUCGGGUGACUCAAAAACUCCCCUCUUUUCCUAUAUAUAUAGACCCAACCCUAAAAAUUGAGGAGAGAUGUCCCAUCCAUCCUCCUCGCCGCCACUCCACCAAAUCCUCUCGGGAUCCCCUCCCUCGAUCCCGCAGCCUCCUCCCUUCCUCGUUUUCAGCUCCACCCAAUCCCUCCAUCCCGAUCCAGAUCCUCUCCAACCUCCGACCAGCCUCCUCCUUCCUCGGGAUCGAACCCGAGCCAUCGCGUGCAGCUCCUGAUCCCCUCCUCGAUCCACCCAUCCCCAGCGCCCGCAACCCUCCUCCUCGAUCGAUCCCGAGUGGGAGAGGACCCGGACGGCUCGUCCCCGCGCAGCCGCGAGGCACCGGCCUCCUCGGCUCCUCCGGCCCUACAACAACCUCGCCGGACCACCAGAUGAACCAGGCCGCCCCUCUGCUACCCUCCGUCGUCCCCUUUUUCCUUUCCUUCUCCUUCUCGCCUCACAUCUCUCUCUCUCUUUUGCUCCCAGGGAACCGAACGAAGCUCCAUCGUUGGACACCCUCUCCAUUGCCGGAGAUCCUCGAGCUGACCGGAGUCGUGGGUAAGCUCCUCCAUCGUGUCUCCCUGCCUUUUCUUCCCCUCCCGUUGCUGCUGAUUUUUCCCCCGCCUUGGCGUCGUUUUGUUGCAUAGGACAGCAGCCAUGGCCGCGGGCAACGAGUACCUAUGCUCGCGUCCGUGACGUCGCCAUCCCGUGGGACCCGCCUCCCUCUUCCCUCGUCCACAGGAGACCAACGCCAUGCGCCGCCUCUUUCAGCUCCGCCCAGCCGCCGCCAUCUUCUUCCCGGAGGUCCACCGACGCCACAAGCCCUGCUGUCGCCUGCUUCCCUCGUCACAGACGAGAACGAGCGCACGAGCGCUGCCCUGCGCGACCCCGCCGGCCGGAUCUGCUGGAGCUCGCCGUCCCCUGCGUCUCAAGUUCCUCUCGCCGGAGCCCCAAGUCCACCUCUGCCCCGUCGCCGAAGUCCAUCGCGCCCAGCCGCCGUCGCUUUGAACCUGCUUUCAGAAACGAGCAGCAACAGCUCGCUCGCCCCGCCUCGCUGCGUUGACCGCGCCCUCCCUUCACCUACGUGGGCCACCAGCAAGCAGGCCCAGCGCCCCCUUCCAGCCUCCCUCUCCAAGCCGACCGGCCUCAACGCCCAAUGUGAGCAGCCCAGUCCCAGCCAGAUGCGGCAUGUGUUAUUUUUUUCCCUGCCUGUGAAUUUAGUCAUUAUCCUGUGAUUUACCAGUUUUACAGAAAACCCCCUAGAUUUCAUGCAUACAAUAACUCCACAACCGUGCAUCGGAUUAAAAUAAUUUAUAUAUGUAAAAUGCUCAGAAAAUUGUGUAGAUUAAUAAUAUGCCAUUUUCAUCCAUGUUUAAAAUGUUUAAAUUUCUGUUUGCAUUAAUUUGCUUAAAUGCCAUGCUAAAAUGCUUUAUUUCAUAACUAAAUAACCGUAGCUCCAAAUUUAAUAAACUUUAUAUGUAAAUGGGGUGGAAAAAUGCCUAGUUUAACAUGGUCCACUUUACGUUGCUGUUUAACAACAUUAAAAUUGUGUUUAGGGCAGAACAGUACCAAAUCUAAAAUAUGCACAUGGGGAUUUUCCGGAAUUGUUGUUUGUUGUUCCGGCCUCAUUUAAACUUGUCUAGAUAGGUAGUUUUUCUCGUGCUUCACCCCUUGCCAUGUUUAAUAACAUUUAAUAUUGUUUGGUAGCUUAAACGAGAGAGAACUAAAUAUUUGAUGUGGUGUUUUGUUAAUAUGCAACUCGUUGCAUAUUGAUCUCCACUUAACUUGUAGUAUUGUUUGUUGCACUUUGCCAUGCCAUGACUCAUUAACCGGUCAUGCAUCAUACUUAUUUGUGCAUCAUGCCAUGUUUAUGUGAUGUUUGUUUACCAUGUUGUUUGUUUCUUUCCGGUGUUGCUUCUUAGUUCUGGUAAUGUUGCGAUUGUGAGGAUUCGUUCGACUACUUCUGCUUGUCUUCUUCAUGGACUCGUUCUUCUUCCUUGCGGGAUCUCAGGCAAGAUGACCGCUACCCUGGAUCUCACUACUAUCAUUGCUAUGCUAGUUGCUUCGUUCUAUCGCUUUGCUGCGCUACCUAUCAUCUGUUUAUCGAGCCAUCCCAUAUUGCCAUGAACCCCUAACCUUUGACACAUUUCCUAUGCAAACCGUUGCUUGGCUAUGUUACCGCUUUGCUCAGCCCCUCUUAUAGCGUUGCUAGUUGCAGGUGAAGUUGAAGAUUUCUCCAUGGUGGACAGGAUUUUGGUUGGGAUAUCACAACAUCUCUUAUAUUAUUAAUGCAUCUAUAUACUUGGUAAAGGGUGGAAGACUCGACCUUAUGCCUGGUGUUUUGUUCCACUCUUGCCGCCCUAGUUUCCGUCAUACCGGUGCUAUGUUCCCGAAUUUUGCGUUCCUUACGCGGUCGGGUGAUUUAUGGGACCCCCUUGACAGUUUGCUUUGAAUAAAACUCCUCCAGCAAGGCCCAACAUUGGUUUUACCAUUUGCCUCACCUAGCCCUUUUUCCCUUGGGUUUCCGGAGCCCGAGGGUCAUCUUUAUUUUAGCCCCCCCGGGCCAGUGCUUGUCUAAGUGUUGGUCCAAACCGAGCGAUGUUCGGCGCCCCCUGGGUAACCAGGGUCUAUGCCAUCCCGUCGUCUUGCUCAUCCGGUGUGCCCUGAGAACGAGGUACGUGCGACUCCUAUCGGGAUUUGUCGGCACAUCGGGCGGCUUUGCUGGUCUUGUUUUACCAUUGUCGAAAUGUCUUGUAAACCGGGAUUCCGAGUCUGAUCGGGUCUUCCUAGGAGAAGGUCUAUUCCUUCGUUGAUCGCGAGAGCUUGUCAUGGGCUAAGUUGGGACACCCCUGCAGGGUAUAAUCUUUCGAAAGCCGUGCCUGCGGUUAUAGGCAGAUGGGAAUUUGUUAAUGUCCGGUUGUAGAUAACUUGACACCAGAUCCGUUUUAAAACGCAUCAACCGCGUGUGUAGCCGUGAUGGUCUCUUCUCGGCGGAGUCCGGGAAGUGAACACGGUUUCUGGGUUAUGUUUGACGUAAGUAGGAGUUCAGGAUCACUUCUUGAUCAUUACUAGUUGACGACCGUUCUGCUUGCUCUCUUCUCGCUCUUAUUUGCGUAUGUUAGCCACCAUAUAUGCUUAGUCGCUGCUGCAGCCUCACCACUUUACCCCUUCCUUUCCUUUAAGCUUUGCUAGUCUUGAUACCCAUGGUAAUGGGAUUGCUGAGUCCUAGUGGCUCACAUAUUACUACAACAACAGUUGCAGGUACAGGUUAUGCGAUGAUCAUGACGCGAGAGCGAUGCUUGCUUGCGUUGAGUCCUUCUUCUGCUUCUUCUUCGAUCAGGGGAUAGGUUCCAGGUCGGCAGCCUGGGCUAGCAGGGUGGAUGUCGUUUGAGUUUCUGUUUGUGUUUCAUCUGUAGUCGGAUGAUGCUCUAAUGUAUUGUGAUGUUGUAUUCGAGUGGCAUUGUAUGCCUUAUGUAUGUAUCCCCAUCUAUUAUGUAAUGUUGAUGUAAUGAUAUCCACCUUGCAAAAGCGUUUCAAUAUGCGGGUCUAUCCUUGGUGGGACCUUCGAGUUCCUUUUGGAUAGGGUCGCAUAUUGGGCGUGACAAACCGUCUACAUUGAGCGGAGGUCGUCCCCAUAACUGUGACGCCCCAAGGUCUACAUCGACGAGCUAGUAUUGUCGUCAUCUUUAAGCACCGCUAUCAUGCGGCGACAGUCAAGUCUACUCCAACUUCUACAUCAACACAAUUCCUGACAUUGUCUUGGCACCGGCAAGGCGAAGCAGUAUUCCACCGAAAUGUCUUUUUCCAGUGAAGCAAUCCAUAUCUUGCCAGGCACCGACGAGGCGAAGGCAAGUCAUCCAGUCCGACUCCGACAAGGCGGACAUCACAAGGCUGGGCACCGAUGAGGCAAAGUCCACCCACUUCAUCGGAUAAUGACAAGACAAAGGAUACGACUAAGCAGAACCGGAGCGAUGGACGUACUGCUCUCCCCUUCACUUCAUCACUACAUCCCCACCAUCUACACCAAGCCAACGAUGCAAUUGAAGCUUUCAACAAGACACCCAACAAGAUACUCAAGAAGACAAUGACAAAGAACAUGAGAGACUGGCAUGACCGUCUCUUCGAGUCCUUAUGGGCGUACCGCGUCACAGUCCGUACCCCAACACAGGCGACUCCAUUUUCUCUCGCAUACGGCAGUGAGGCGAUCCUACCACUGGAGGUCCAGCUACCCUCUUUGAGGGUGGCUAUGCAAGAUGGAAUCACCCAAGAUGCAUAGGUACAACUGCGGUUUUAGGAGCUUGACGCCCUUGAAGAAGGGAAACUUCAUGCCCUACAUAACCUGGAGCUUUACCACCAUAAUAUGUAGAGCUUACGACAAGCUCGUCAAGCAACGCAUCUUCCGAAAAGGCGAGUUGGUCCCCGUGCUCAGGAGGCCCAUCGUCGUGAUGGACAAGAUGAAGGGAAAGUUCGAGCCAAAGUUGGAAGUACCAUACGUCAUCGAGCAAGUUUGCGAUGGGGGAGCAUACCAGCUCGACGAUUCCCAGGGAGUCCAACCAAUGCCCCCAAUCAACGGGGGGUUUCUCAAAAAAACUUAAAAUUUUGUUUCUUUUGUUGCCUUCCGGUUUUUCAUUGGGGAUUUUUUUGUGGGCUAUCGAAUCCAUGAUGCAUUCUCCUUUGCAUUUCGUGGAUAUAUCUAGUUUUCCCCAAUUUUAUGGACUAUGUCCAACAACAACAAAAAUGGCUUUCCCUUAUCCCACUAUGUUGUUGGUUAAAGUUUUGGCUACCCUAGGACUUGUUGGAGGGUGGCACGAUGUGUCAAGUUGCAGGUGGAGCGGCUCCUACACCCACAAUGCACGACACAUAUCAGGUGUAUGCUUCCGGAGGUAGCGGAGACGAUUACUUCGGCACUUCUGAGUAUUGAGACUCAUGCUCUUCAUGUUUACGGCAUGCCUCAUGUUCACAGAGGCUCGCACUCCAGGGAAGAAUAGGAAAAGAUCAUGGAGGGCUGCCUGACCUAAUGUAAAUUGGUUUGGUGCAUAGUCACAUGGCAACCCAGGGGUGCGCCACCAGAAGCCCCAGAUAAAGUGCUAGAGGGUUUUUCCUAGUCCACGGAGGUGAACAAGUUGCCUUCAAGUUCUCAAGGUGGGUCCCAAAGAAAUUCAGGAAAAAGAGUCCUCAAGAAGUUUCAGUCGAAUGUCAAAGCAAGUCCAUGAAGUAUGCGGCCAAUCAAUCAUCCGCGUGAACAAUCAAGAUAAAAUUCCAAAAGUCCAAGAAGCAAAUUUAAAAAAUCCCAACAGUCCAAGAAGCAAUCGAGCGGUCCCGAGGAGUAAGGAACCCACUGGAAGGAAGACGGACGGUAGCUGUUCACCACCCCUCAACAUGCAUGAAGAAAAAUCGUCAAGCCGUUGUCCCAAAACAAUUUAACCUGGAACUACCAUACCCAAGUCUCUCGGUUCAUGAGGCAUGUGCAGGGGGCAUGUUGAGCUGUGGAGGCCCUUAGUAUGAUGAUGGGCUAGAGUAUGAAUUUCGGUUGCCUCUUGGAAGCAUCCCGAAACACGACGUCUUCAUACAUGUACACCGAAGCUUAUUUAAGUUGUUGAGUUGCAAUCGUCAAGGUCUUUUGAUGGUUCCCAAUGACAAGUCCUUCGGCAGCCUUCUCGGAUAUCACGUCUAUAGCUCAUGUAUAACGGGAAAGCCAACAUUUUAAAAUCCUCAAACUUUUUCUUUCUUUUUUUCUCUUUUUCGCUUGUUUUCAUUUGGUGUUUCUAGUUGUACCCCUCCAACAUCUUUGCAGCCAUGGAGAGACGCUUCCUGUCGUCGUCGACGACAUUCCGACGAAGAACCACUACAUCGACCUACAUCAUGGGCAUUUGGGGCUGCAGUACCCAUGUAUCCAUGACAACACCAACGAUACCCCGACAACCAAUGGUCUACACGGAUGCGCACGAUGGGCGCCAGAAGGCAACACUUGCGCUCAUUAAGGUGGCGCUGAUGUGUCUCCGUGGCCCUGUCUCCAACAAGAAUGAAGCAUGGAGGCAACAUCAACCCUUCAAUCAUCUGUAAAGUUGAUGGCGUCCCUGCUUACCACCAUAAUUGUCACACCAUGAAUGGUGUAGUGAUUCACUCAAUGAAGGGGAGUUAUCAAGUGUCUACCGAUGCCCCGCCUACAUCAACACACGGAGAUCAUGGGAGCAGUCUAACGCGCCAGUGCGACCAACGUGAAUCUGUGAAACCCUUCAAUCAAGUCGGCUGGCACCAUAGCAGCUAUAAGGUCACGACGAGAUUGGUAAAGUUUUUCUUCUUGUUUUCAGGACAAGGCAUGAUGUUUCGCCAUGGAAUGAAGAUUGAAUAGGGUUGCUUCAUUGCUUGGCAUCGUGCCUGUUAUAUGAUCCAACGAGCUCCUGAGAGAACACGGUUGUGGAUGGACAUUCCCGCACUACUUUACAUUGUUACUAAUCAAUCAUGUUCGGCACUGUAUGCACGGCCUUGGGGAGAGGUCAUCUCUGAACUGGUUCUUCAGGCUGCAUAUAAAUCGUGCGCCAAGAAAAGAGAAACAAUAUAUAUAUAUAGGGAAAAUCCAUCCUACCACCCGGUGGUAGUUAUCCCACAUUUCUCAUAUACUACCGUGUGGUACUAUAUAUACUAUUUUAUUAUUUUAAAUAUGUUCAUAUACUAUAUCUAAGAUAUUUCAAAACAAGUUACAUGAAAAAAUUGCAUAUGAGCCCAUAGUUUUGUUAUAUUUGUUAAAUACGUACGCAUUUGUACGUAAAAAAAGCAUACUCAAAACAUGGUACAUACUACCUAAAAAUAGUAUAUAUACUACCUAAUCAUUAUUAUAUACUACAUACUACAUGUGCAUACUCUCGGUUUCAAUAGAUACUACAUACAACAUACAAAACGCAAGUGUUGAUAACUACCACUGCUUGUAGGAAACAUUUGUCAUAUAUAUAUAUAUAUAUAUAUAUAUAUAUAUAUAUAUAUAUAUAUAUAUAUAUAUAUAUAUAUUCAUCAAGUCAAACUCGAUUUACUUCACAAUCAAGCUCAACUCGAUGAGGGAGCAUUUGUUCGACGAGUUUUUGUGCAUUGUUGCAUAAAAUAAUAAUUUUUUAAUGAGUUGUGAUGCAGGCUAAAUGAGCAAAGGCAAGCUAUAAUAAUAUAAAGGCACAUUUAAUUACCGUGACACAUGCACGCAUGACAAAUGCCCACGUACUCAGCAAAUACAUAUGCAUAAAAUAUAGGUGCAGCUAAUAUGUGUACAUGCACACGGUCCGCCAUGCACAUAUACAUACGUAUUUGUGUAUUUGCGGCCAGCCGGCAAGCGCGUAUACUUCUCCAAAUACCCCCAUGAAUGCGGGCAUGAAAUACGUGAAAGUGUUGCAUUGGGUCCAAUAUGCACUUACACACCAACGGGCUGAGUUUUUGGCUAGUAAAACUUUCAUGAGCACAUACAAGGUUUGUUUGGUAAGUUCGUGCAUGGUAAGAAGUACUUGGGCACUGGAAAGGAAGCUUUUUUUAAGAUGGAAAGUUCAAAUCUUGCUGAUCAAGAUGAGGCCGUGUACCGGCCAUCCUCUGGGUAUAUAAAUACGGGACCACGGCUCGUGCACAAGGGGACAGAAGGAGACGCGCCGAGAUGGCAGCGUCGAGCAAGAGAAAGGAGCCACAUGAUGGAGAGCAUGUACGGGCAGGUUUGAAGACAAGGUCGCCAUGUACCUGGCGGUUGCGGAUGACGUACCGACCGCAGACGACGCGCCCACGGUAGCGGCGCACUCGCUAGGCAUCAAGCACGCUGCUUGGCCCUGUCCGGCGGGGGUUGCGACGGGGCAGAGCAUGCAUGAAGGAAAACACCCAUGGAGGAUGGCGUGCACUAAUUACCAAUAGCUUAUCUCAGGUCAGAUACCUCUUUGUAUUUGCAUGAUACACACAACCAAGGAGAAACCACGCAGAAAAGGAGACGGACCCGUGGUGGCCCUAGGACGGAGUCAUCUCGCACCCGGAGGCGGCGGACGACGCAUCCGGUGGAGAGGAGCCCAGGAUUCCAGGGGAGAGCGGCGACACCCUCGCACACAUGGAUGCAUGCUAGAACAAGGAGGUGUCCACACAUCGACCACCGCCAGAGACUACUUCGCCGGUCCAGAAGACUACACCAACAUCGUCGAAGAUUGCCUACAACAAUCCCUUCAUCUUCAGGCAUCACACUCCUGUUUGGAGAUGACUCAGAAGCAGCCGGAGCUCGCGAACAACGUAGCCCAACCGCUAGCUCUGGGUAUCUACCAGGGCGGUCUACAUGUCCCCGAUGAGCAGGUCACAACGCACAGGUCAUGGCGAACAGGUCUCCGAUGCACAGGUCCUCGGCGAACAGGUCAUCGGUGCACAGGUCCAUGACGCACCGAACAGAUCUCGCGUCUUGCUUCCCGGAGGAGACGACAUGGCAGAGCUAGAGCUCGCGACGAUGUAGCCCGAGACAGGUCCAUGACGAACAGGUCUCUCCGGUGCACAGUUCCAUGGUGCUCUGAUCAUGGUGCACAUGUCUGGUGUCUUGAUUCCCAGAGGAGACGACGUGGCGGAACUGAUGCUCACGACGAUGCAGCCCGAGACCGGUCCCACCUAUGAAGGCGCACCCACCAUGGCGAACAGGUCCUUGGCGUACAGGUCUCGGCGUGAUACUUGUCUCAGCAAACUACCAAGUACGGCGUUUAGCAGAGACGAGGCACCCACCAUGUCGGACAGGUCCUCGACAUAUAGGUCUCGGUGUACAGGUCCAUGGCUUCCUCGGCGUACAGGUCACCCUUUGAUGUAGCACCUGCCAAGGCAGCCUCUACGACGCCACCUUUUGUAGAUCACGUGAGCCGGUGCCCUUGUCUUGGCGGACCAACCAGACGGCAUUUAGCUAAUACAAGGUGACACAACCUCUACAACAUCUCCCUACGAGCUCGACGGGCGACGUCCUUGACAAAACAGACUGCCAUAAACUUGGCGUUCAAUCAAGUAAGACGCACCAUCAGGGCGCACAGGUCAUCGGUGUACAGGUCUUGGCGUACAGUUCCACGGCGUCGCCGGUGUACGGGUCCCCAUUCGGUGUAUCACCCACCCAAGGCGACGAAACCUCUGCAACAUCUCUUCACGAGUUCGCCGGGCGGCGUCCUUGACAAAACGGACUGCCAUAGACUUGGCGUUCAAUCAAGUGAUACGCACCCAUCACGACGCACAAGUCAUUGGUGUACAGGUCUACGGCGUCACCGGUGUACAGGUCCCCUUCUCGGUAUAGCACCCACCCAAGGCGACGUGAGCUCUACAACAUCAUCUCCCACGAGCAUCUCAAGCAGCAUCCUUGACAAAACGGACUGCCGUAGACUCGGCAUCCAAUCAAGUGAGGCGCACCCAUCACGGCAAACAGGUCAUUUUGUGUACAGACCCAUGGCGUCGUCGGCGUUCAGGUCACUCUUGGUGUAGCAUCAGCCCAAGGCGAUAUGGCCUCUACGAUGUCACCUUUCUAUGGCCAUGUGAGGUGGCACCCUUUGUCUUGGUGGACCGCCGAAUAAUCGGCGUCCAGCCAAGACGAGGUGCCAACCACACCGGAUAUGCUGAUACGAGCGAGCGUUGGUUUUACACCGACGCCGAUCUCCAUAAGGAUACUUCUGCGAGGCGAACCCCAUGCGUACCCCGACGAAACCACUAUAUCGUCAAGAAGUCCGAGCCAAGCAGGACUCGUGGUACUCCCACACCAACUACAUCAACGCCGUCAAGACCGACGAGGCGCGAUGGCAAGGGCGAGCAUGGCUAGCACGAAGCCAUGUUUUGAGCGGCACAUGUACCAACGAGGACACGGGCUUUGUCGCUGCUCACACCACACACCAUCAUCAUCAUGCAUGGAAAACGCGAAGCGAAGACGACGAAGACAACCACACCGCUUAAUUGGAGGUAUCUCGCGUAGCAACCCACGUGAGUAAUUAACCGGAAGCUUUUCGAGGCCCCGGGAACCAAGAGACCGCACAUCGCCAUAGUCAGUCAGGACGCGCUAGUAGGCCACGGAGCGCAACCAAUUUUCUAUGGGAUCUUGUAAUUUUGUUCAUCAAAAGAGAUAAAUGAAAUAUUUGUUUCCCGUAUCAUUUUUUUUUUGUGUACUAAGGUACACUGGCAUGCCGGCAUUUUUCUUUUCCCCGGCGCAUGAGAGAAAUCAAACUCCCGCUCUUUCCCAUCUCAGGAAGUGCAUUAAUAGAUUUUUCUCGUGUCAAACAUUGGUUCCUAGAAUGCCACAGCACAUUCUCUCUUCCAGCGCACAUCUAAAUGAGUUCUAGUUAUUGCAUAUUUAAGUGGGUGAAUCAAGCAUAGAGAUAUAAGGAAAAAAAUAUUCACACGAAUUACAACACAAGAUCAAUGACAUAGAAAUUAGAUGUGCAAUACUACUUUAGCAAAACUGAUUUCCUAUACACAUGGAGCCGGUGGAAUAAGAUACACGUCGAGGGAAGAGCGGUCGCGUCGACGCCACACCUGAGCCGUCGAUUACUCGAUUUUUGGCGCAGACACACGCAGUAUGCCAUGCGCUCGCACUUCGUCCGUCAUGCAUCUACCUCCACUGCCAAGGAUCGCAGCGACUAGUCACUUCGUUCUACAGAUGGUUGUCUAAAGCAAGCAUAUGCAACGAUCGUUGUGGGAUGCAAGGAUAAUAAUUUGAAAUCAACUUUGUGAAAAUAUAACGUUGCAUAAUGGAAUCCGUGGAGCACUUGUAAGUCCAGUUAAAUAGUCAGUUUCGUGAUUGCUUAACAGCACGUUCUUCAAUAAUUCCAGCCUGCAUAGCCAAGAAAGGGGGAUGGAUCUUGGUAGAUAUCAUUCGUACAGCACGACAAGAAAUACCAAAUUUCCUAAAGCACGAUGUAAAAAACCUAUAACGUUUACCUAACCUAUCACCAUGGAUCCUUCAGGCAAAACAAAUAAACGGUACGAUUAGAAGGAGGAGCUACAAAUUUGGUAGUAAGCUUAAAGUUGAGUUCCUUUCAAUUUCUUCAGCCAUAGAAACCGGACAAGAUCAAGCAGCCUUACAUCUGAGUUUAAACACCCGAAAAUUUGUUUGCCAUAUUCACAGCCAUGGGAUGAAAGCAACUAAUCCGACCACCAAACUAAAUUUUCCUAAUACCAAGCCAUCCGGGACUCUCCUGAAAACCAAGACACUAAAUCCUACGAGUACGAACAAGAAACUCCUUCGUCUUUUGUGAUGCAAAUUUAAUCCAUGGUGCAGGCGGUGGCAGCGAGGAACAGGUCAGGGCCUCAGUUGUCGUCGUCAUCGACGGUGGACGCCUUGGAGGAAGAGGCCUUCUUGGGGAGGAGGUGCUGGUGGAUGUUGGGCAUCACACCGCCGCUGGCGAUGGUGGCGCCGCCAAGCAACUUGGUCAGCUCCUCGUCAUUGCGCACGGCGAGCUGGAUGUGGCGGGGCACGAUACGUGUCUUCUUGUUGUCCCUGGCGGCGUUUCCGGCCAGCUCCAAGACCUGGGUCAAAGGGGGAGGACGACCAGAUUAGAACAAGCAGCCACCAAUGCAAUGGAUACAUAGGAAAGCACAUCGAUUCCACACCCUAGAAACCUUAUCUUGACGAAUUUGGACAAGAAAAUAACUCCGAUUUCGACGCAUUGCUAUUAACAGACGGCACGGUUCUAAACAGAUCUAAGAAUAGCCCGAUUUGUCGGAACCAACGACCGAACCGGAUCAAGGAAUAGAAUACCGAGAGAACUGGGGCAAGGAUGAGACCCGCGAGAAACGCACCUCAGCGGCGAGGUACUCAAGGACGGCGGCGAGGUAGACGGGGGCGCCGGCGCCGACGCGCUCGGCGUACUUGCCGGCCUUGAGGAACCUUGCGAUCCUUCCCACGGGGAACUGCAGCCCAGCCUUGGAGCUCCUGGACGUCGCCUUCUUGGCCGCGCCGGCGCCGAUUGCCUUCCCACGACCGGCCAUCUCAGCAACCGAGGAGGGGAACGACGGGAGCCGCAACUGGGAGGCGGAACGCGCGAGGGGACAGGAGGCGGUGGAGGCGAGAGAGACGCAGGUGGGAGGUUUCGUUCAGCGCGGGGGGGAAUAUAUAGGAAGGUGGGGACGGGGCGGCAGCCAAUGGGCGGCGAUCACGCGGAUCGCUGGUUUAGGCCGUCGGAUGCGCGAGAUUGGACGGCGGAUGGAACGGAGCCGCGAGGGUUCGGAUCCGGAAGCGGCGGGAGGGCAGGGGCAUAUGGCGCGGGGGAAGGUUUUCGUUUUGGACUUUUCGCGGGAGUCCAGGUCUCUAUGGGAAUCGACGGAGUGGUCACGUGUUUUAAUUUUUUAUAUGGCCCACUUGUCGGUGUUAUUUCUUCUGCAGUAAAGAUGGGUGCUUGGUCCACCAAUAAUGUAACACUAGAUCGGAAUCGCGCCUUGGCGCAAGGGUGCCGGUGUCAACGUUUUGAUCAAGCAGGUAAUGCUAAGUAGUAGUAAUUCACGUUAAGCGUGUGUUAUUAAAUUUAUUAUCACUAAGCGUGCCAUGGCGCUCAGAUAAUUUGAUUUCAUGCCCAUGAUAAAACAAAAGUAUUUUAGCUUGUUCAAGAGCAACAGGACAUGAAGUUCAGUGUAGAAGAGUAGAGCCAGUGGCAGUGAGAUUACAGGUGCAUAGAAAGUCACAUGUCAUAGGACACAUAGUUUUACAUGACAAACACAAUAGUUAAUCCAUUAAAACAUGACUAACACAGUAGUUAAUCCAUUGAAAUACAUACUACUGGGCAAAAGAAAGCAUCAAUUACAUCUUAGAUAAGAUAGUAACUUAGAUAGCUAGCUCGAUGUACCAUUAUAUUUGACUUAGUCAGACCCUAUAUAUAGAGAGAGAUUUGAAAGCUGUGGAUCACAAAUAGAAUUGGUGAUGGCUACUACACAUGGGACAUAGAUAUAUUGCAAAAUGAUUUCGCAGACUGAUGUAUCCUUCCUUCUGAUUGGCCAUGUUGACCGUUUCAAAUAAAUCUUUGCGUGCAGUGUAUGCAAAUUCGGUCCUAGCGUGUUCGCUGUCAAAUUGUUUAGACAACAAAAAAAUGAGUUAUCCUUCUUGAGUAAUCACCACCCAAGAUCCAUACACAUAUUUUAGAAUAUACCUUGUCUCUAUGGAGUGUGGUCAUCCGCCGCAGUUUGCAUUUCAUGGAAACAUAGCUGUCAGGGGGUGCUAUACAUGAGAUUUAUUAAUGGGCUCAUGAAGAACCAAAUGAAACAAUCCGAGGAAGUGUCACACACCGACAUUUCAUCGAGCGACUUGGAUCCAGCAGCGGUGGAGAGAGAGAGAGAGCACACUUGUCAAAGGCCUUCAUUGUCCACUUCUGGGGACGCGACCUGGUCCAAGACGGCAUGGUCCUGCUUCCACCGCUGCUCGUGCUACUGAGUGAUGGGGAGGCAACAACUGCUUUGAAAUGUCGUGGUGGAGGAAGUGGCGAAAGCUCUCCUCUCCAUGCGCUCUUUCAUCGACGGCAACACCUUCAGCCGGUCGGAGCAGUGUUUCCCAGAAGUCUCAAUGGUGGGUACCUCUCUGCGAAUCAGCGAGAACUUAUUUAUUAAUAGCAUCUAGUAUAACAAAGGUUUUGUAUAAAAACCAAUGGAUAUACAAUAGAAGCAAAGCGAUGUGGGAAGAUAUGGCCGCCAAGUAAUUUUAGCUGAACAAAAGGAAAAAUCCUCAACACUCAAAUAUACUUAAGUUUUUAGUCUCUCUAUCAGAUUGCACACAUGAGCAUAGACAUUUGGCCCAUAUAUCUAAGUACUAAAUCUUAUCCAUAUAAAAUAAGGCGGUUCUUACCACAAAGUCAAUCUUGAUGCCAUUACAACAAAUAGCCGUAUGUAGCUGCUUUUGCACAAACUAAGUACCAGCACAUAUAUACUCUUACUCUUGAUAUGAAAUAAUCAUAUAGAGAGACAAAUGACGUACUUUCUCAUUUCAACAUGGAUUAAUCACAGAUCAUCCCAAAACGUGUAGCUCAAGAAUAUAAAGAAUAUGUGCAUCCAAAAGAAAAAUCAAGUAGGUCGCAAAGUACCACAUGUACCACCAGUGACACAUGCGCAUAUCAAAUAAUCACAGGCUAGCAGAUAGUAGAGAAUAAAUUAUGCACGUGCAACAACAGCGCUAAUCCAAGUUGGUCGCCUGAUGGUAAACGUGCUGGUCUGGAAGCAAACCAAGGAUGACCUGCUCCCAAGAUCCAUAGCAAAGCUCAUGUUCAGAAAGGAAAUGGACUACUAAUACCUGCAUUAAUAUGCACAAAAGUUUAUAUUUUGUGCGAAAAGAGAAUUCAAUUCAUAAACUGUAAACACUUAUGAGUGAAACUUAAAUAGUCCGUCCAAUGAUUCUUAACAGCAAUCCACUUCUGACAUUUAAAUCCUAACUAAUCAGGGUAAUUGUUCUUUUCUGACAAAAAAAGGGUAAUCAUUCUUAAUAGCAACACACAACUACAAAAACAAGAAAAAUUUUAGUAAUUCUAACAGGCAUGAAUGAAUAGCAAAAAGGGAACAGGACAGAGAGAUACACACAUAGAGCGUGAGGCAUGAGAUCAUCACAAUAGCACCCCAUGUUCAACGAAUUGCAGCUCUGGCUUACCGCUCACACUGCAUCCACGACUCUGUUGGUUCACUAUAUGGAGCAGCAAAAAAAGGGGGUCAGAGCUGUGUGCAUGGACAUCUGUGACAUAUGAACCUGGGAUGAAGUACCUGAAUGCACGCGCAACGCGAGUAUAAAGGCUGAUGACCCCAGUAGAGCAGCGGCAUGAGCCGCGACCUGCGGUUCUCCAGUCGACGGAGACGGCACCCAUCAGCGCUAUCGUGCUUGACCCCCACGCACACGCUGUCGCUACAGUUCACCUACGAGAGAGCCCGGGAGGAGGCGCCUCGAAUCAAACACAUUAAGAAAAGGAUCCGCUCAUGAACGAAAAGUCACUCUAAUGGGCUAUUACAACAAAAAUAGACUACAUUUAAAUUAAAAUGGGGCUCAUCAUCGCUUCCUCAUAGUUCGUAGGGUCAUCAUGGUCUAGUAACAUGACUUCAAAAUAGGAUUACCGUACUACUCUGGUGCGGAUCUUAAUCUGGAACAUCUACAAAUUUUGGUAGCAACUUAAUCUGAAGUUUCAUGAUCAUCAUCAUUAGAUUCCUCACUAAUUGGUGUAGGAAUCACUGGAACUAAUUUCUGUGAUGAACUACUUUCCAAUUCGGGAGAAGGUACAAUUACCUUAUCAAGCUCUACUUUCCUCCCACUCACUUCUUUCGAGAGAAACUCCUUCUCUAGAAAGGAUCUAUCUUAGCAACGAAUAGCUUGCCUUCGGAUCUGUGAUAGAAGGUGUACCCAAUAGUUACCUUUGGGUAUUCUAUGAAGACGCACUUCUCCAAUUUGGGUUCGAGCUUAUCAGGUUGAAACUUUUUCACAUAAGCAUCGCAGCCCCAAACUUUAAGAAACGACAACUUUGGUUUCUUGCCAAACCACAGUUCAGAAGGCGUCGUCUCAAUGGAUUUUGAUGGUGCCCUAUUUAAAGUGAAUGUGGCUAUCUCUAAUGCAUAACCCCAUACGAUAGUGGUAAAUCGAUAAGAGACAUCAUAGAUCGCAUCAUAUACAAUAAAGUGUGGUUACGACGUUCGGACACACCAUAACAUUGUGGUGUUCCAUGUGGCGUGAGCUGUGAAACUAUUCCACAUUGUUUUAUAUGAAGGCCAAACUCGUAACUCAAAUAUUCUUCUCCACGAUCAGAUCGGAGAAACUUUAUUUUCUUGUUACGAUAAUUCUUCACGUCACUCUGAAUUUCUUUGAACAUUUCAAAUGUUUCAGACUUGUGUUUCAUUAAGAAGAUAUACCCAUAUCUGCUCAAAUCAUCUGUGAAGGUCAGAAAAUAACGAUACUUGCCAUGAGCAUCAACACUCAUUGGAUCACAUACGUCGGUAUGUAUUAUUUCCAAUAAGUUAGUAGCUCGUUCCAUUGUUCCGGAGAACGGAGUUUUAGUCAUCUUGCCCAUAAGGCACGGUUCACAAGCAUCAAAUGAUUCAUAAUCAAGUGAUUCCAAAAGUCCAUUUUUAUGGAGUUUCUUCAUGUGCUUUACACCGACAUGACCCAAACGGCAGUGCCACAAAUAUGUUGCAUUAUCAUUAUCAACUUUGUAUCUUUUGGCAUCAAUAUUAUGAAUAUGUGUAUCACUACGACCGAGAUCCAACAAACUAUUUUCAUUGGGUGUAUGACCACUGAAAGUUUUAUUCAUGUAAACAGAACAACACUUAUUCUCUGACUUUAAAUGAACAACCGUUUUGCAAUAAACAUGAUCAAAUCAUAUUCAUGCUCAACACAAAUGCGAAAUAACAUUUAUUUAGGUUUAACACUAAUCCCGAAAGUAUAGGGAGUGUGAGAUGAUGAUCAUAUCAAUCUUGGAACCACUUCCAACACACAUCGUCACUUCACCCUCAACUAGUCUAUGUUUAUUCUGUAACUCCUAUUUCGAGUUACUAAUAUUAACAACCGAACAUGUAUCAAAUACUCAGGAGCUACUAUAAACACUAGUAAGGUACACAUCAAUAACAUGUAUGUCAAAUAUACCCUUGUUCACUUUGCCAUCCUUCUUAUCCACCAAAUAUUCAGGGCAUUUCCGCUUCCAGUGACCGUUUCCUUUGCAGUGUAAGCACUCAGUUUUAGGCUUUGGUCCAGUUUUGGUCUUCUUCACGGGAGUGACAACUUGCUUGCCAUUCUGCUUAAAGUUCCCUUUCUUUCCCUUUGCCCUUUUCUUGAAACUAGUGGUCUUGAUAAUCAUCAACACUUGAUGCUUUUUCUUGAUUUCUACCUUCGUCGAUUUCAACAUAGCGAAGAGCUCGGGAAUCGAUUUUGUCAUCCUUGCAUACUAUAGUUCAUCACGAAGUUCUAGUAACUUGGUGAUGGUGACUAGAGAACUCUGUCAAUCACUAUCUUAUCUGGAAGAUUAACUCCCACUUGAUUCAAGUGAUUGUAGUACUCAGACAAUCUAAGCACUUGCUCACUAGUUGAGCAAUUCUCCUCCAUCUUUUAGGCGAAGUAUUUGUCAGAGGUCCCAUACAUCUUGACAUGGGCAUAAGUCUGAAAUAUCAAUUUCAUCUCAUGGAACAUCUCAUAUGUUCCGCGACGUUUCAAAAACGUUUUUGUAGUCCCGGUUCUAAGCCAUAAAGCAUGGUGCACAAAACUAUCAAGUAGUCAUCAUAUUGAGCUAGCCAAACAUUCAUAAUGUCUGCAUCUACUCCUGCAAUAGGUCUGUCACCUAGCGGUGCAUCAAGGACAUAAUUCUUCUGUGCAGCAAUGAGGAUAAACCUCAGAUCACGGACCAAGUCCGCAUCAUUGCUACUAACAUUUUUCAACUUAGUUUUCUCGAUGAACACAUAUAAAAACAUAGGGAAGCAAAAACACGAGCUAUUGAUUUACAACAUAAUUUGCAAAAUACUACCAGGACUAAGUUCAUGAUAAAUUAAAGUUCAAUUAAUCAUAUUACUUAAGAACUCCCACUUAGACAAACAUCUCUCUAGUCAUCUAAGUGAUCACGUGAUCCAAAUCAACUAAACCAUGUCCGAUCAUCACGUGAGAUGGAGUAGUUUUCAAUGGUGAACAUCACUAUGUUGAUCAUAUCUACUAUAUGAUUCACGUUCGACCUUUCGGUCUCCGUAUUCCGAGGCCAUAUCUGUAUAUGCUAGGCUCGUCAAGUUUAACCUGAGUAUUCUGCGUGUGCAACUGUUUUGCACCCGUUGUAUUUGAACGUAGAGCCUAUCACACAUGAUCAUCAUGUGGUGUCUCAGCACGAAGAACUUUCGCAACGGUGCAUACUCAGGGAGAACACUUCUUGAUAAUUAGUGAGAGAUCAUCUUAUAAAGCUACCGUCGAACUAAGCUAAAUAAGAUGUAUAAAAGAUAAACAUCAUAUGCAAUCAAAAUAUGUGACAUGAUAUGGCCAUGAUCAUCUUGCGCCUUUGAUCUCCAUCUCCAAAGUACUCUCAUGAUCUCCAUCAUCACCGGCAUGACAACAUGAUCUCCAUCAUCUUGAUCUAUAUCAAUGUGUCGUCACAUGGUCGUCUCGCCAACUAUUGCUCUUGCAACUAUUGCUAUCGCAUAGCGAUAAAGUAAAGAAAUUAUUUGGUGCUUGCAUCUUAUGCAAUAAAGAGACAACCAUAAGGUUUCUGCCAAUUGCUGAUAACUUCAACAAAACAUGAUCAUCUCAUACAACAACUUAUAUCUCAUGACGUCUUGACCAUAUCACAUCACAACAUGCCCUGCAUAAACAAGUUAGACAUCCUCUACUUUGUUGUUGCAAGUUUUACGUGGCUGCUACGGGCCGAGCAAGAACCGUUCUUACCUACGCAUCAAAACCACAACGAUAGUUCGUCAAGUUAGUGUUGUUUUAACCUUCUCAAGGACCGGGCAUAGCCACACUCGGUUCCACUAAAGUUGGAGAAACUGACACCCGCUAGUCACCUGUGUGCAAAGCACGGCGGUAAAACCAGUCUCGCGUAAGCAUACGCGUAAUGUAGGUCCGGGCCGCUUCAUCCAACAAUACUACCGAACCAAAGUAUGACAUGCUGGUAAGCAGUAUGACUUGUAUUGCCCACAACUCACUUGUGUUCUACUCAUGCAUAUAACAUCUACGCAUAAAACCAGGCUCGGAUGCCACUGUUGGGGAACGUAGUAAUUUCAAAAAAAAUCCUACGCACACGCAAGAUCAUUGUGAUGCA
Molecule: long non-coding RNA, 53920 nt
Filed under: Triticum aestivum (bread wheat)
Lineage: Eukaryota; Viridiplantae; Streptophyta; Magnoliopsida; Poales; Poaceae
Description: long non-coding RNA (TAES_LNC022270)
Source: RNAcentral